This 51586-nucleotide long non-coding RNA is filed under the name Triticum aestivum (bread wheat). RNAcentral's name for it is "long non-coding RNA (TAES_LNC014394)". The stretch from base 2479 to 2577 matches the Rfam family "Small nucleolar RNA R44/J54/Z268 family". Lineage: Eukaryota; Viridiplantae; Streptophyta; Magnoliopsida; Poales; Poaceae. The record is from RNAcentral.
UCGUCUCCAGCCGUAAUCCCCCCUCGAGUCGAGUCCUCCAUGCGAAAUCACACCAGCCAUUAGCCGUCUCACCGCGAAUCCCCCUAUGGUUAUUCGGUCUAUUUCCUUCUCGCUGCAUUUCUCAGCUUCUUCUCUUUUUGCUUCAAUGCGUUCUUCGCUUUCCCCUUUGGUGUUGAGGGGAUCUUAUUUUUUGUGGAAGAGGAUUAGGGUUUCGCCAAGAGCUGGCAGAUGACGACAAGCAAGACAGGGACUCUGCAGCGCCCUCGAUUUCAGAUCGGGGGUCGCGAAUGAUGCAUUCCGUCUAGGGGAAUCUCCGAUGCUAUUCCCAAUUUCCUCCCGCACCAUCUUUGCUUUGUUUCUGCAUAAAUAGGCUGUAGUGUUUCGCCUCGUGAACAGAAGAAACUAGCAUAUGACGAUAAGCAAGACAGGGACUCUGCAGCGGCCCCGGCCGCGAAUGAUGCAUUCGUCUAGGGGAAUCUCUGAUGCUAAUCUAAGUCACGCCAUCUUCUCUCUUGGUCUCGGCCUGAACGCACCUGAACCCCACUGGCGUUUGCUAGCUUUUUUUCCACUUUGUAUUUUAAUCUGAUUUAUGAAUCUGUGCCGCAACAAAUUUGGUACAAGCAUAACUAGCAUAAGACGAUAAGCAAGACAGGGAUCUCUGCAGCGCUCCUGAUUUCAAAUCGGCGGCGCGGAUGAUGCAUCCGUCUAGGGGAAUCUCUGAUGCUAUUUUCACUUCACUUGCUUUUUUCUCCCUGUUUUUUUGUCUUCUGUUGUUUUGAUUUAGCUGCCUGUACCAGUGUUCAAUACAGUAUGAGCAUUUCGCAGUGAUUUCCUUUUAACUUGGCACCUUGUUGUUGCACUGAACUGUCAGCCUGAUGAUUAUCCUCGAGAACGGAGAUCUGAAUCCAUUUCUCCGUUGAAGCCCGCUUGGCCGCCGUGCUUGACCUGUCAUGGCAUUUGUUUCUUGGCUGGGUUUCUCUCAGGAGUAAAUUGCAAAACCCCCAACAUUCAACAUGCAUGCAUGCAUGCAUCUCGCGCACACACACACACACACAUACAUGUAUGCACGAAGCAGGCCGAAUGGGCUCCGGGAAUGGAUGUGUAGAAGCAAAAGUUAUGAAGGCUUUGGCAGAUCGGGUGAAUGCCCCCCACUAGAUUCAUGGUUUACUUGUUUAUAAGUAGUGUUUGGUAUCAGUUCACCUUUAAUGGUUCAAUGCCUGGUGGUUUGCUGUAGAAAUUAUCAUGCGAGUAUUAUUUGGAUCUGAACAUAACUUAUGUGUGAAUUGUAGUGCUUAUGUUUGGACAUCGCGAAGAUUAAAAGAAACGAGAACGAAGGCCAGAGUACGUAAAGAGUAUUCAUUUAUCAAAUACGGAACCUCGUGUGCUUGGCUAGCCUGAUGAUUACAUUACCUUUGGAUAAAGAAUAAAGUUCUGAGAUCUCAGCUCCGUUGAAGCUCACCUAGCUUAGGCUGCUGUGGUGGAUCCUACUCCCUCCUUCCAUAAAUAAUGUAGCAAUUUGCUCUUGGGAGUAAAUUGUUGGAACAUACAUGCACAACACACAUGUGUGUAUAUAUAUAUAUAUAUAAUCUUCCACCAACCUGGCUGGCUGGGCUCCGGUGAGAGUGUUUGAAGCCACAAAAAGUAUGAAGGCUUUGCCAAUGCAUAGUUCUUGGUUCUGUAAUAUUAUUCUAGUUGAGUUGUCUGGCCUCUGUAUUAGCUAAUCUCAAAUGCACAACUUAUUUUAAAUCGUUGCUUUUUCCUUGUUUCAUGUUGAUGUUUGCAGUCAGAUAUAUUGGCUUUGACAUUGGAGCAUUUUGAUCUAGCUGCCUGUUAAUGUAAAUGCACUUCCCUGUUGAAGCCUGCUUGGCCACUCUGGUGCAUUGGCAGUUCCAAGGUUUUAUAGGAAUUGAGAUGCAUGUCAUCUCACUUCAUAUGAUUUUUCUAUCCCCAUGAUAUUCCUAACCAAAGGAGGCCUUAAUUUCCUUUGACCGAGCUGACUGAUCAAAAGAAUGCUCUCCUAUGUGUUUGUAUAGAGUUUUGCAACUCUGAUUGCUUAACUGCCAUUUGGCUGUACUUUUGGAGGGUCAGUAGGGUGUUUCUGCAGUGCCCUUAUUGUUGCUCUCAUUGGUUUGUGCACCUUGAGAUUAUAUUGUGUAUGUCUCAGCUGUGGUUGCUGGUUUCUUGUGUUAAUUUCUUCUGUAGUACUUCUGCCUGCAUUUUUUUAUUGAAUACAGUUUAAGCAUUUUGGAAUGGAAAAUGCUCAGUCUUGAGGCAUUUUGUUGUUGAGGUAUGUGGUUGGCUGAACUGCCAGCCUGAUGAAUAACCUAAGAAUGAAGAUCUGAAUACAAUUCUCCGUCAAAACCUGCUUGGACGCUGUGCUUUCUUUCUUUCUUCCAUUCUUGGCGGGGUUUCUUGGGUAAUCUCUGAUGCUAUUCUCACUUUCCUCCCAUGGAGUGUUUUGCCUUGUCAAAUUUUGUUUUAGCAUAUGACGAUAAGCAAGACAGGGACUCUGCAGCGGCUCUGGCUCAGAUCGGGGCCGUGAAUGAUGCAUUCGUCUAGGGGAAUCUCUGAUGCUAAUCUAAAUUCACAGUAUCUUUUCUCACUCUUCCACUGGUGUUUGCUAUUCGUAGCUGUUUAUCCCAUGGAUUUUAAUCUGAUGUUGUUUGCUAAAUUUGCGUUGCAACAAAUCCGGUACAAACAUAAUUGGCAAAUGACGACAAGCAAGACAGGGACUCUGCAGCGCUCCCGAUUUCAAGUCGGGGCUGUGAAUGAUGCAUCCGUCUAGGGGAAUCUCUGAUGCUAAUUUCCUUUUAUCUUUUUUCUCCUUGCAUUUUAUUAUCUUGAUUUAGGUGCUAUUAACUGUGGUAAAUACAGUGUGAGCAUUUUCACAAUGAUUUCUUUUAGCUGGAGGCACUUCCUUGUUCAGAUAAGUGGGGUUCCCUGAACUGCCAGCCUGAUGAUUAUCCUCAAGAAUGGAGAUCUGAACCCACUUCUCCGUGGAAGCCUGCUUGGCCGCUGUGCUUGUUGAAUAUCCUGGUUUCUUGGCUGCCCACCCUCAAUGGUUUAAUGCCCUGGUGUUUUGCUGUAGAAAUCAUCAUGGCAAUAUUUGUUGAGUUCUGAACAUAACUUACCUUCAAUGGUUUAAUGCCCUGGUGUUUUGCUGUAGAAAUCAUCAUGGCAAUAUUUGUUGGGUUCUGAACAAAACUUGUGUGAAUCGUUGUACUUAUGUUUGGACAUAGCAAGAUUAGCAGAUACAGGAAUCAAGGCCAGAAUAUGUAAUAGUAUCUGUUUAUCAAAUACGGAACCUUGUGUGCUUGGCCAGCCUGAUGAUUACACCUCUUCAUAAAGAAUGAAGUUCUGAGGUCUGAAUGCUCUUCUCAGCUCCGUUGAAGCUCGCCUAGCUUAGGUUGCUGUGGUGGAUCCUACUCCCUCCUUUCCUAAAUGAUGUACUCCCUCCGUCCACAAAUAUAAGAUGUGUACUCCCUCCUUGCUGAAUUGGAACAUGCAUGCACACACGCAUAUAUAUUAUCUUCCACCAACCUGGCUAGCUGGGCUCCGGUGAGAGUGUUUGGAGACACAAAAAGUAUGAAGGCUUUGCUAAUGCAUAGAAUUCUUGGUUUUGUAUUAAUGUUAUAGUUGAGAAACUUGUUUGGACUUUGUAUUAGCUAUCUCAAAUGCACAACUUCUUUGAAAUAGUUGCUUUUUUCUCAUUUCAUGUUGAUGUUUGCAUAUAUCUAUUUGCUUUGUCAUUGGAGCAUUCUGAUCUAGCUGUCUAAUGAUUACCAUAGUGUGCAUUGUACUAAGAAUGGAGAUCUAAAUGCACUUCUCUGUUGAAGCCUGCUUGGCCACUCUGCUACAUUGGCAAUUCCAGGUUUUUUUGGGGUAUCUGCUAGAGAUGCUCUUAACCUGCUGUUGCUGCUACCUCCAUCACUGGUGUUCCUUCGAAUGUUUUCCUUUGACUGAGCUGGCUAAGUGGACUCCAGGGAAUAAAUAUGUUGAAACAAGAAGUAUGAAUGAAGAUGCUUGUAAUUUCCUUUGACUGAGCUGGCCACUCUGCUACAUUGGCAAUUUCAGGUUUUUUUGGGGUAUCUGCUAGAGAUGCUCUUAACCUGCUGUUGCUGCUACCUCCAUCACUGGUGUUCCUUUGAAUGUUUUCCUUUGACUGAGCUGGCUAAGUGGACUCCAGGGAAUAAAUAUGUUGAAACAAGAAGUAUGAAUGAAGAUGCUUGUAAUUUCCUUUGACUGAGCUGGCUAAGCGGACUCCAGGGAAUAAAUAUGUUGAGACAAGAAGUAUAAAUGAAGGCUUGGCUGAUCAAAAGAAUGCUCCUAUAUGUUUCUAUAGCGUUUUGCAACACUGAUUGCCUAAUGGUCAUUAGGGUAUGUUUUGGAGGGCCAUUGGGUGUUUCUGCAGUGCCCUUAAAUUUCUAUUCUUGUGAUCUUUUCUGGCAACUGAAUAUUGUUGCUCUCAUUGGUGCACGUUGAGAUUUCCUUGUGUACCUCCACACAUGGUUGCUGAUUUCCUGUGUUAAUUUCUUCUGUAUUUCUUCUGCCUGGGUUUUUCAUUGAAAAAUUCUUAGCUGGAGCCAUUUGUUGUUGAUUGAGGUAGGUGGUUCAGUGAAUCCCGCAUGGCCUGCUGUGCUUGAUUGAUGCCUUCCCCCUCCUUUGUUUCUUGGCUGGGUUUCUCUUGGCAGUACAUUACAAACACCCCCCCACACACAUGUACACACAAAGCAGCCUAAAUGAGCUCUGGGAAUGGAUGUCUAGUAGCAAAAGCUAAAAGGCUUUGGCAGAUUGGAUGAAUGCCCCCCACUAGAUUCAUGGUAAGGAAAGAUUUGACCGGAUCUGAACGUAACUUCUUUAUGAAUUGUAGUACUUAUAUUUGGACUCGAGCAAGAUUAGCAGAUAUGAAAAUCAAGGCCAGAAUAUCUGAUAGUAUUUGUUUGUCAAAUACGGAACCUUGUGUGCUUGGCCAGCUUGAUCAAGGCUAGAAUGAAUAUCUGAUAGUAUUCGUUUCUCAGCUCCGUUGAAGCUAACGUAGCUUAGGCUGCUGCGGUGGUGGAUCCUACUCCUUCUGUUCCUAAAUAAUGUAGCAAUUUUUGGAUUUGAAUUGGAACAUGUAUGCACACUCUGGGCUCCUGUGAUGGUGUUUGGAGAUACAAAAAGUUUGAUGGCUUUUGGCAAAUGCACGGAAUGCUGAGUUCUGUAAUAGUAUUAUUCUAGUUGAGAGCGUUGUUUGGGCUCUGUAUUAGUUUUCUCAAAUGCGCCGCUUUGAAAUAUUUUUUUCUUGUUUUGUGUUGAUGUUUGCAGUUAAUAUAUUUGCUUUGUCCGUUGAGCAUUCUGGUCUAGCUGCCUGAUGAUUACCACUAAGAAUGGAGAUCUGAAUUCCCUUCCCUGUUGAAGCUUGCUUGGCUGCUUUGGUCGAUUGGCAAUUACAAGGGUUUUUUGGGGUCCGUUGGAGCUGCUCUUAACCUCCUCCUCCUGCUGCUGCUGCUGCUUCUUCUACCACUACUACUACUACCAUCACUUCAGUUCCUUGCAUGCUUGGAACUACUCAACCCUCCUAAACUCUUAAUUGCCUUUGACUGAGCUGGUUAAAUGGACUCCAGGGAAUAAAUAUGUUGAUGCAAGAACUAUGAAUGAAGGCUUGGCUGAUCAAAAGAGUGCUCAUAUAUGUUUUUAUAGCAUUUUGCAACUCUGUUUGCUUAAUUGGUCAUUAGGGUGUUUUUUGGAUUAGGGUGUUUCUGCUAAGCUCUAUUCUUCUAAUCUUUUCUUGCAACUGAAUGUUGUUCCUUUUUCUGUUUGGUAUUGUCUUUUUUGGUUUGUGCACCUUGAAAUUUCCUUGUACCUACAUAUUUGCUGAUUUCAUGUGUGUUUCCUCCGCCUGGGCUUAGUCCGAGGCACUUGUUGUUGGGUGUUGGGUGGGGUUUGUCAAGUGAAUUGCAAACCUGACAAUUAGCCAUAAAAAUGGAGAUCUGAAUCCAUUUCUCCGUCGCUUGGCCGUGUGCUUGGUUCAUCCCAUCCUUUGUUUCUUUCCUGGGUUUCUCUCAGUAGUAAAUUGCAAAAACCCCAACAUGCAUGCAUGCACACAUGUACGCACAAAAAGUUUUGGCAGAUCGUUGAAUGCCCCCACUAGAUUCAUGUUAUGCUUGUUUAAGGAGCAUUUUAGCUUAGUUUGUGGCUGCCUGCUUUCCUUCCAUGGUUUAUUGCUUGAUGUCUUGCUGUAGAAAUCAUCAUGGAAAUAUUUGUUGUGUUCUGAACAGUUGCUGCCCUCAUUGCAUGCUUUGGUUCCUGUAUUUUGCUGUGGUUAUCAUGGAAAGAUUUGUUUGGAUCUGAAUCUUAUGUUUGGGCUAGUAUUUGUUUAUCAGAUACUAAACCUUUUGUGCUUGGCCGGCCUGAUGAUUACCUAUGCAUAAAGAAUAGAGACCUGAAUGCUCUUUGAAGCACACCUAGCUUAUGCUGCUGUGGUGGAUCCUACCCCCUCCAUUCCUAAAUAAUGUAGCAGAUUGGAUAUGCACAAAGCAGGCUAAAUGGGCUCUGAGAAUGUGUGUGUAGAAUGGGCUAAAUGGCCAGCCUGAUGAAGGCCAGAAUAUCUAGGCUUUCUCAGCUCCUUUGUACCUUGCGGAGCUUAGGCUGCCUUGGUGGGUCCUACUCCCUCCAUUCCUAAAUAAUGUAGCAACUUGCUUUUAGGGAGUAAUUUGGAACAUGUAUGCACACUAUAUCUCUCUCUGAUCUUCCACCAACCGGUUAGGUGGGCUCUGGUGACGGUGUUUGGAGAUACAAAAGUUUGAAGGCUUUUGGCAAAUGCACAGAAUGCUCAGUUCUGUCAAGUAGAAAGUUGUUGGUUUCUGUAUUACUCCCUCCGUCCCCAAAUUCUUGUCUUACAUUUGUCUAAAUACGGAUGUAUCUGGUUACGUUUUAGUAUUAGAUACAUCCGUAUCUAGACAAAUCUAAGACAAGAAUUUUGGGAUGGAGGGAGUAUUUUUCUAAAAUGCACAACUUAGAAUUUUUUUUCUUGUUUUGUGUUGAUGUUUGAAGUUGAAUAUAUUGGCCUUGUCCUUUUGAGCAUUCUGGUCUAGCUGCCUGAUGAUUACCACAAAGAAUGGAGAUCUGAAUGCACUUUCCUGUUGAAGCUCGCUUGGCCGCUUUGGUGCAUAGGCAAAUCCAAGGGAUUUUUGGGGAUCUGUUGGAGAUGGUCUAUACCUCCUGCUCCUGCUGCUGCUGCUCUAAUACUACUUCCACCAUCACUGGUGUUCCUUGCAUGCCUGGAACUACUCAACCCUCCCGAACUCUUAAUUUCUUUUGACUGAGCUGGCUAACUGGACUCCAGGAUUAAAUAUGUUGAUGACAGAAGUAAUAAUGAAGGCUUGGCUGAUUGAAAGAAUGCUCCUAUAUGUUUGUAUAGCGUUUUGCAGCCCUGUUUGCUUAAUGAUCAGGGUGUUUUUUUGGAUUAGGGUGUUUCUGCAGUUUCAUUAAAGCUCUUCUUCUGAUCUUUUCUGACAACCGAAUGUUGUUUCUUUUGCUGUUUUGGUUUUGUCUGUUUGGUUUGUGCACCUUGAGAUUUCCUUGCGUACCUCUCAGACAUGGUUGCUGGUUUCUUGUGUGUAAACUGCCAGCCUGAUGAUUAGCCUAAGAAUGGAGAUCUCAAUCCAUUUCUCCCGUUGAAGCCUGCUUGGCUGCCAUGUUUGAUUCAUCCCAUCGAUUGUUUCUUUGCUGGGUUUCUCUCAGGAGUAAGUUGCAAAAACCCCAACAUGCAUGCAUGCACACAUGUACAUACAUGGCAGUCUAAAUGGGCUCCGGGAAUGGAUGUGUAGACUGUAGAAGCAAAUGUUAUGAAGGCUUUGCAGAUCGAUUAAUGCCCUCACUAGAUUCAUGUUAUGCUUGUUUAAGGAGCAUUUGAUCUUAGUUUGAGGCUGCGCGCAUUCCUUCCAUGGUUUAUUGCUCGGUGUUUUGCUGUAGAAAUCAUCAUGGAAGUAUUUGUUGGGUUCUUAAGACAUUAGCAAGAUUAGCAGAUACGAGAAUCAAGUUAGUAAUAUCUGUAUAGUACUGUGUUUGUGUAUCUAAUAAGGUUAGUCAUAGUGGGGAGUAACUUGGUGUCACGCAUAUGACACUAGUCUUCAUAGACUAUGGGUAGUAUCAUGGAAGCCUUAUUUGCUUAGAUGACUCAUUUUCCCUUUGGGUGUGUUAUGUUAUGGUGACAUUAUGUUACCACAAACACCUCUCACUAACUACUUGACACAUAAGCAAACUUGUCUUGGGGAGCGUUAUGUUACUAGCUAAAGUUGCUCCCACUAUGGCCAGCCCAAGGAGCAAUAUGUGCGUUGCCAGCCUGGUGAUUAACCUUUGCACAAAGAAUGGGGUGUCUGCUCCGAUGAAGCUUAGCUUGGCUUUGCCUGCUGUGGUGGAUCCUACUCCCUCGUCUAAAUAUUUGAAGCAAUUUUCUCUUAGGAAUAAAUUGGAUCAUGCAAGCAUAUAUUGAUAUGUACAUACAUCUCAGAUCUUACACCAGCCUUGCUAGGUGGGCUCCGGUAAAUGCACAGAAUGCCCAGGUCUGUAACAAUCCUAGAUGAUGAAGUUGUUUUGACUAUCAACUUAUCUCAAACACACAACUUCUUGGAAAUAGUUGCUAUGUUCUAUUCAUGUUGAGAUUUGCAGUUGAAAAUAUUUGGCUUUGUCAUUGGAGCAUUCUGAUCUAGCUGCCUGAUGAUUUCCAUUGUGUGCACUAAGAACUGGAGAUUUGAAUGCACUUCCCUGUGGAAGUCUGCUUGGCCACUCUGGUGGAUUGGCUCUACUAUUAGCUUGCUCUGCCUGCUGGGGGUACUAUUAUACCACUACUGCCACCACCAACACCAUCAACUCUUAUAUUUCUUUACGGAGGGAGUAAUUCUCAAUCUUUCUGAACUCUUCUGCCGAGCUGGCUAAGUGGACUCCAGGGAACAAAUAUGCUGAAGCAAGAAGUAUGAUGAAGGCUUGCAGAUUGAAAGAAUGCUCCAACUUGCCAUCCGACAAUGCUUUAAUAUUUUUUUGCAACUCUGCUGCUGAAUGGUCAUUGGUCUUUCUGCUGAUGCUUUGCAACGUUGAUUUACUUAAUUGUCAUAUACUCCCUCUUCUAUGUGAUGUUUUUGCAAAAUUGAUUGCUGGGAUGUUCAUUGGUCUUUCUGCAGAGUGAUUUAUGGUUUUUUUGGUUGUCUUCUUGAGCAAGCGAAUAUUGGUGCUCUUGCAGUUUUGUGGUGUUUUUUGCCUGUGUUGCUGUGUGUGCUUGAUGAGAUGUCCUUUUGUACCUCUACCAAACAUGGUUGCUGACUACUUGUGUUAAUUCAUUGUGUUUUUAAAGUGUAUUUUUCAGGCAUUAGAUGGUCCUGCAUAUGGGUCGAGGGUGGACUGAGAGCAAAUAACAAUGUGAAGUUGUGUCGUGGUAUAAAAACCAGAGUAUUUAAGUCCAGUAAAUGUUUAGGCUGAUUUUGUAUUUGAUUCUUUGUAAAUGUGAUGUACAGUCUUAGCUUAUAAUGUACUGUACUUUGGUUUUAGAUACAUACCUCUACUUUUGUAGAUGGGUUUUCACAAAUGAGCUACGAUCUAUGUGAUCAAAUUUCAUAAGAACAGGUUGGUAUGCAAGGUGGAAGCUUCAGUGCUCUGAAUUUUGCAAGUAUUUUAUCAUUCUAGUCCCCAAAUGGAGUUCAUUAUUUCUCCAAAUUAGGCUUUAUAGCGUAGACGAUCAGGUAUAUCAUACCUAGAAGGACUUUGAAGAUCUACUGGACUAGGUGCACGAUGCAAAAAAAAGGGCAAAAUAAAUAAUGGAGAAAAGUGACGUUGAAACGUGAGGCAAGGGGAGCCUCAUUUUUUUUUGAGGGGAAGCCUUCGUGCCGCACUUUAAAGCUGGGAGGAUUAUUAGUCCAAAAAAAAUAGAAGAAUUUGUGCCAAAAUGGUCCACUCUUGGAAUCUACGAAGUGGCUAAAUGGCAACUCCGCCAUUUUAAACUACAGUUCCGCCAACUCCGCUUCGGAAGCUGUGGAGCGGAGCAUUGCCAGCCCCCGUGUGUCUACCAAAUUGUGGGCCACUACGUUAGAGAUUGUACCAAUACAUUGUGCAUAGGGAGCCUCAUUUCACUAAGGUAAAUGAUUCGUUUUGAUCGACCGACUAGGAUUAAUGUGGAGGGAUUAAUGUGGAGGCGUUACGUACGGUGGGGCCCAUGCAUUGCUUUUCUCGCCCGGCCCCUAAUCGCUUCAUGCGGGCCGCACCACAUGUCAUGGUCAUGCCACUUUCUGCUGCGGGCCAAUGUCGCUAAGAGCUGCGAAUGGCGAAAGGGAGGGGCGGCGGUGCCGUGAGCACCCCUGAUAUGCGUUGUAAGAUCGAGGGGGAGGAGUUGCAAGGUGCUACAACCGGCAUAGCUAUUGUUAGGAUUUAGUUAAUUCUAUUAAUCCCUGUUUUUCCUAAUCCGGACGGGACGACCACGGCCAUGGAGCAACAACAAACUUCGAUCCAUAUCCCUGUGCUCGAUGGAUUGAAAUCAAGAAAGAGAGAAAUCGGAGUCAAGAAGCAACCGAAGCCUUGAUCUAAUUGCUACGUACAAGAAUCAAGGUGCUACCUUCCGAUUUUAAUCCUUUACGCAACAAACUGUCUUCAGGCAUGCAGGCCAUGGCCUUCGGCUGCCUUCCGGCAUGCAGCAGCGGGAAGAACAACACACGACCAUGGCCUUCGGCCUCUGCGUGGGGCUUCCUAGCGCGGCUCCUCUGCAGCCCCGACUCCUCUUGGAGUGGAGACGGCCAACGGCUGACGCGGCGCUCUUUCUUACGGUCGGCGAACCCAUCUCGCUCGUCGGUUACUGCGGCGCUCGCGCCCACGCGGCACCAGGCUGUGGCGGUCGAAGGUAGCAGUGGCCAACGGCCAUGGCCGCUCAGGUCGCACGACGCUGUUUUACUGAAGCCUCCCGUCGCACGACGCGGACACCGCAUCCGACGCGGAGCGACUUUCUCGAUGGCCUCGCCUGCCGAGGGAAUUGUGGCGGCUUCCGGCCGGCGACGCCUGAAGCGCGCGCGCCGCGGCGGCUCGUCCCUCAGGCGUCGGUGACUUGCUCCAUGCGUGUCAGCAAAGCAAGGCAACGCUGGUGGCGCAACCACCUGGAGCGGUGGCAGCCCGAAACGGCGGCCAUGGCGCGGCCUUCCCGGCCUCUUCCCCUGAGGGAGACCCAGCGCGCGGCGGCGCACAGUGCGGCCGUCUCCGGGCGGCGACGAUUAUCUGGGACGAGUCCCAAUCGUAACUGCAGAAGAGAACCUUAUCUCUUCGGCUGCUUUGACUGCAGCCCUUGCAGUUUCUCAUAAUCAAAAAUGAGUUUCUGCAGUUUUCUCUUAAGCCUUCCUGCUUAGUUCAUCACGCAUGGUAGCCUAUUUAUCUGUUGAGUUUCUUUAAAAAAAAUCCAGAAAUAUGUGGUUGUUGAUGCUUGACAUGUUCAAUGUGUGUGCUUUUUAGCAAUCCCUAUAACAUGUCCUAUUAAUACAACGACGCUGUUUUGCGAUUGAGAUUAAGUUUUCUCGCACAUCCAUAUUGAUUUGCGAUUGAGAAUUUUAUUUUCUCGCAAAACAAUCUCAUAGCGAUUGAGAUUAAUUUUCUCUCGCAAAAUAUUAAUUCAUCUUGUUGAAUUAUCUUGCAACUUGAUACAGGAUCAUCUCAUUUAAUUUGGGAUCUAUACAAUUCAAGUUUUUCACUUGAACAUCAAGUUUGCAACAUCAUUACUAUUCAUUAUAAUAGUGGUGUAUUUCUGUUGAGUACGAUGUAUUCCGGAAUGUAUGUAUCUCCAUGUCCGCUACAUGUUGAGAUUAAUACGUCUAUUUGUAAUUGAGAUUUUUAAUUUCUUGCAAAUAAGAAUGCAAAAUUCAAAGUGAUUUCUUCAAAUCAAUGUAUUGGGAUCACAAGGUAGUCAUUUAGAUCUACUGCCUUCGCAGAUUAUCAAUGACUACUGUUAAAGCUUAUAUUUUGUCAUUUUGACAUUAUAAUUGCUUUACAAAGUGCUCUCCCACGCAUUUUACUAAGUCAUGACAUAAGGCAUUACGAGUGAGUAUCUACUGGUUCCAUCAGAUUAUACUCUCUAGUGCUGCGAGAUCUACUCCAUUUUGGAGAUUAUCUUCAAGGUGUCAUAUUUAGCAAUUUGAGAUUCACACUAAUGGUUUCAAGAUAACUUCUUGAAAUACCCAUUGAUUUUGCUAAGUUCAUUAUAACAUCAACCAUGAUGGUCUUUAAUUUACUGGUUGUAAAUUAAUUAUCUCUGGUUUACCCAUAGAGGUAACAUAUGGCUAUAGAGUUUGGGGCAUUCGCCCUCAAUGGCCACCACUGCCCUAUCGGGGCCAUGGACAUCAUGAUCGCUCUUGUGUCUCGUGGGAUAAUGUGUGCAAUCCAGGAUUCACUUCUGGUCAGAAUCACACCGCUAAUAGAAAAAUGUUGUCUUAUACAUUAUAAGGCAUUAAAUUCAGAUCUCAGAAUCUGGUUAUUCUGUAUCAGCAAUUCCUGGGAUACAAUGAACCUCAAGGGCAAAGGUUUGAAUCUUACUUCAACCUUCAAUCCGACAACACCAGCUGUGACGGGACCCUAUGAGCACGGAGAACUUGAUGGUUGAAUAUGCCUCAACUGACAUGUUUGGAGACUUCUUCUAGUCUCUCAAUCUCCUGAGUGGUCAACAUAAUUUAUGUCAAUUUACGAUGUUCUAAUAAGAACAUAAGUAUUGUUGUCAUCAUAUAUUGUAUAUCACAAUAUAUUGUAUCAGCACUUUGAUACACAUACAUUUGUAUGCAUUCUAUAUAUCUGACAGUGAUUUUCAUAUUGAAAAUCUUCAUGUCUAUAUAUAGAUUUAUACGGGAGUCAAUCCGAUGAAAAAUGAUAUGUGCCUUGUGGACAUAUGCACCACACACACUCUAUACUCAGGGAAGUCCAAUGUUUCCACUCUCAUUGAGAGAAAGGAGAUAUUUUAAAAUCGCUAGACGCGAUGAGGUAUUUGUUGGCUCAACUCGAGUCAUAUUUACUAUCCUUGUGGGUACUCGAGUAUCGCCAGGAUGCUUUAUUGCUUCCGGGUUUAGCUCGUACCCUACUAAACUAUAGAGGUAUCCGUCAAAGUAGUUUCCAUAGUGAAACUUAUGAUGACAACAAAGAGGAAUAUCUUCUCUUUACCAUAUGCAACGGAUAUGGCAAGCACAUUCUCUAUGUAUCAUUGGCAUUGCACUACACAUACUACAAAACCCGUAGCACAUGUUACGCAUGAGAUAGUUUUCCAGAGUGUCUUUUGCAUGACAGACUUGGCAUUCCUGCUUUGGUCAUCAUUGACAUUGGGUUGAAACCGAAACUAUCAGCAAUUCCAGUGUUUAUGAUUAUUAUGAUGCUACAUUCUAACAAUAUUUGGAUUUUACGUGCACUACAUGUGACACACGGAGGAAAAUUUUAAGGCUUGUACACCUUAAAGUGUAUGCUGAACCACUCAGACUCCUUGAAUGCAUCAAGUCGAGGUAAGUGGCUCUUCCCAACCAUUGAGUAGACUAUUCAGGUAUUCCAUGGUUCUAAACGACAUAUCUACAUGAUGGUCUUAAGUGUGUGCUUUAUUCACACAAAACCAUUGGCUCAUUAUCUUGACAUCGAUUUCAAGCAAAUCGAAUGGAUAACCUUGCAGAAUUCUCCUUGAGUGCCUUCUUUAUGGCCCUUGGAUUGAAGUUUAGCAAUUUGUCCUAAUGUCUAGACUCAAAAUGGUUUGGUAGAAUCCUAUCCAAAGAGUUAAGCUCAUUGCAUAAUCUUUACUUUGGAAUUGCAACUUACCAACUUUAUGUUGGAGUCAUGCAGUCUUACACGCUCAUGACCAAACUACAUUAUAUUAUUCCCUCUAUCUUUUAUACGUGGAAAUCUACCAAGUAUUUCCUAUCUGCAGUAAUUCGGUUACACGCCGAUAUCACCACCCGGCAUACAUCAUUAGCCCCUCAACAUAUAGUUGGGAUCUAUGUGAGGAAUAACUGUAUUUCCAUCAAUACCUCAAGCCCCUCGAAUGGGGCAUUAUUCAAGGCCAGUAUGUUGAUUCAAUGAGGAAUAUUUCCAGGCAUUAGGGGGAGAAUUCAAGUACCAUAAAGAUGUUGGGGAACGUUGCAGAAAACAAAAAUUUUCCUACGUUUUCACCAAGAUCCAUCUAUGAGUUCAUCUAGCAACGAGUGAUCGUAUUGCAUCUACAUACCUUUGUAGAUCACGCGCGGAAGCGUUCAAAGAGCGGGGAUGAGGAAGUCGUACUCGACGUGAUCCAAAUCACCGGAGAUCCUAGCGCCGAACGGACGGCACCUCCGUGUUCAACACACGUACGGUCAGCGUGACGUCUCCUCCUUCUUGAUCCAGCAAGGGGAAAGGAGAGGUUGAUGAAGAUCCAGCAGCACGACGGCGUGGUGAUGGAUGCAGGGGUCACCGCAGCAGGGCUUCGCCGUUCUACUACGAGAGGGAGAGGUGUAGCAGGGGAGAGGAAGGCGCCAAGACUCAAGGGUGCGGCUGCCCCUCCCUCCCCCCUUUAUAUAGGCUCCCCUAGGGGGGCGCCGGCCCUAGGAGAUGGGAUCUCCUAGGGGGGCGGCGGCCAAGGGGUGGAGUGCCCCCCAAGCCAGGUGGGGCGCCCCCCCCCCACCCUAGGGUUCCCAACCCUAGGCGCAUGGGGUGGGCCAAGGGGGGCACACCAGACCACUAUGGGCUGGUUCCCCUCCCCACUUUGGCCCAAUGGGGCCCUCCGGGAUGGGUGGCCCCACCCGGUGGACCCCCGGGACCCUUUCGGUGGUCCCGGUACAAUACCGGUGACCCCCGAAACUCUCCCGAUGGCCGAAACUGCACUUCCUAUAUAUAAUUCCUCACCUCCGGACCAUUCCGAAACUCCUCGUGACGUCCGGGAUCUCAUCCGGGACUCCGAACAACUUUCGGGUUACUGCAUAUUCAUAUCUCUACAACCCUAGCGUCACCAAACCUUAAGUGUGUAGACCCUACGGGUUCGGGAGACAUGUAGACAUGACCGAGAUGGCUCUCCGAUCAAUAACCAACAGCGGGAUCUGGAUACCCAUGUUGGAUCCCACAUGCUCCUCAAUGAUCUCAUCGGAUGAACCACAAUGUCGAGGAUUCAAGCAACCCCGUAUACAAUUCCCUUUGUCAAUCGGUAUGUUACUUGCCCGAGAUUCGAUCGUCGGUAUCCCAAUACCUCGUUCAAUCUCGUUACCGGCAAGUCACUUUACUCGUACCGUAAUGCAUGAUCCCGUGACCAGACACUUGGUCACUUUGAGCUCAUUAUGAUGAUGCAUUACCGAGUGGGCCCAGAGAUACCUCUCCGUCAUACGAAGUGACAAAUCCCAGUCUUGAUCCGUGUCAACCCAACAGACACUUUCGGAGAUACCCGUAGUAUACCUUUAUAGUCACCCAGUUACGUUGUGACGUUUGGUACACCCAAAGCACUCCUACGGUAUCCGGGAGUUACAUGAUCUCAUGGUCUAAGGAAAAAAUACUUGACAUUGGAAAAACUCUAGCAAACGAACUAUGCGAUCUUGUGCUAUGUUUAGGAUUGGGUCUUGUCCAUCACAUCAUUCCCCUAAUGAUGUGAUCUCGCUAUCAAUGACAUCCAAUGUCCAUAGUCAGGAAACCAUGACUAUCUGUUGAUCAACGAGCUAGUCAACUAGAGGCUUACUAGGGACAUGCUGGUGUCUAUGUAUUCACACAUGUAUUACGAUUUCCGGAUAACACAAUUAUAGCAUGAAUAAAAGACAAUUAUCAUGAACAAGGAAAUAUAAUACUAAUCCUUUUAUUAUUGCCUCUAGGGCAUAUUUCCAACGGUCUCCCACUUGCACUAGAGUCAAUAAUCUAGUUACAUUGUGAUGAAUCGAACACCCAUGGAAUUCUGGUGUUGAUCAUGUUUUGCUCUAGGGAGAGGUUUAGUCAACGGAUCUGCUACAUUCAGGUCCGUAUGUACUUUACAAAUAUCUAUGUCUCCAUCUUGAACAUUUUCACGAAUGGAGUUGAAGCGACGCUUGAUGUGCCUGGUCUUCUUAUGAAACCUAGGCUCCUUGGCAAGUGCAAUAGCUCCAGUGUUGUCACAGAAGAGCUUGAUCGGCCCCGACGCAUUGGGUAUGACUCCUAGGUCGGUGAUGAACUCCUUCACCCAGAUUGCUUCAUGUGCUGCCUCCGAGGCCGCCAUGUACUCCGCUUCACAUGUAGAUCCCGCCACGACGCUCUGCUUGCACUGCACCAGCUUACUGCUCCACCAUUCAACAUAUACACGUAUCCGGUUUGUGACUUAGAGUCAUCCAGAUCUGUGUCGAAGCUAGCAUCGACGUAACCCUUUAUGAUGAGCUCUUCGUCACCUCCAUAAACGAGAAACAUGUCCUUAGUCCUUUUCAGGUACUUCAGGAUAUUCUUGACUGCUGUCCAGUGUUCCUUGCCGGGAUUACUUUGGUACCUACCUACCAAACUUACGGCAAGGUUUACAUCAGGUCUAGUACACAGCAUGGCAUACAUAAUAGACCCUAUGGCUGAGGCAUAGGGGAUGACACUCAUCUCUUCUAUAUCUUCUGCCGUGGUCGGACAUUGAGCUGAGCUCAAUUUCACACCUUGCAACACAGGCAAGAACCCCUUCUUAGACUGAUCCAUAUUGAACUUCUUCAAUAUCUUAUCAAGGUAUGUGCUUUGUUAAAGACCUAUGAGGCAUCUCGAUCUAUCUCUAUAGAUCUUGAUGCCUAAUAUAUAAGCAGCUUCUCCAAGGUCCUUCAUUGAAAAACUCUUAUUCAAGUAGGCCUUAAUGUUGUCCAAAAGUUCUAUAUCAUUUCCCAUCAAAAGUAUGUCAUCUACAUAUAAUAUGAGAAAUGCUACAGAGCUCCCACUCACUUUCUUGUAAACGCAGGCUUCUCCAUAAGUCUGCAUAAACCCAAACGCUUUGAUCAUCUCAUCAAAGCGAAUAUUCCAACUCCGAGAUGCUUGCACCAGCCCAUAAAUGGAUCGCUGGAGCUUGCAUACCUUGUUAGCAUUCUUAGGGUCGACAAAACCUUCCGGCUGCAUCAUAUACAAUUCUUCCUUAAUUAAACCAUUCAGGAAUGCCGUUUUGACGUCCAUUUGCCAUAUCUCAUAAUCAUAGUAUGCGGCAAUUGCUAACAUAAUUCGGACGAACUUCAGCUUCGCUACGGGAGAGAAAGUCUCAUCGUAGUCAACCCCUUGAACCUGCCGAUAACCCUUAGCGACAAGUCGAGCUUUAUAGAUGGUAACAUUACCAUCCGCGUCCGUCUUCUUCUUAAAGAUCCAUUUGUUUUCUAUCACUCGCCGAUCAUCGGGCAAGUCUGUCAAAGUCCAUAGUUUGUUUUCAUACAUGGAUCCUAUCUCGGAUUGCAUGGCUUCAAGCCAUUUGUCGGAAUUCGGGCCCGCCAUCGCUUCUUCAUAGUUCGAAGGUUCACCGUUGUCUAACAACAUGAUUUCCAAGACAGGGUUGCCGUACCACUCUGGUGCGGAACGUGUCCUUGUGGACCUACGAAGUUUAGUAGCAACUUGAUCUGAAGUUUCAUGAUCAUCAUCAUUAACUUCCUCUCUAAUUGGUGCAGGCACCACAGGAACAUUUUCCUAAGUUGCGCCACUUUCCGGUUCAAGAGGUAAUACUUCAUCAAGUUCUACUUGACUCCCACUUACUUCUUUCGAGAGAAAUUCUUUCUCUAGAAAGGAUCCAUUCUUGGCAACAAAGAUCUUGCCUUCGGAUCUGAGGUAGAAGGUAUACCCAAUAGUUUCUUUAGGGUAUCCUAUGAAGACGCAUUUUUCCGACUUGGGUUCGAGCUUUUCAGGUUGAAGUUUCUUGACAUAAGCAUCGCAUCCACAAACUUUUAGAAACGAUAGCUUAGGUUUCUUCCCAAACCAUAAUUCAUACGGUGUCGUCACAACGGAUUUCGACGGAGCCCUAUUUAAAGUGAAUGCGGCAGUCUCUAAAGCAUAGCCCCAAAAUGAUAGCGGUAAAUUGGUAAGAGACAUCAUAGAUCGCACCAUAUCUAAUAGAGUGCGAUUAAGAUGUUCGGACACACCAUUACGCUGAGGUGUUCCAGGCGGCGUGAGUUGUGAAACUAUUCCACAUUUUCUUAAGUGUGUGCCAAAUUCGUGACUCAAGUAUUCUCAUCCAUGAUCUGAUCGCAGGAACUUGAUUUUCCUGUCACGUUGAUUCUCAACCUCACUCUGAAAUUCCUUGAACCUUUCAAAGGUCUCAGACUUGUGUUUCAUUAAGUAGACAUACCCAUAUCUACUCAAGUCAUCAGUGAGGGUGAGAACAUAACGAUAACCAGCGCGAGCGUCAACACUCAUUGGACCGCACACAUCCGUAUGUAUGAUUUCCAAUAAGUUGGUUGCUCGCUCCAUUGUUCCUGAGAACGGAGUCUUGGUCAUUUUACCCAUGAUGCAUGGUUCACAUGUGUCAAAUGAUUCAUAAUCAAGAGACUCUAAAAGUCCAUCUGCAUGGAGCUUCUUCAUGCGUUUGACACCUAUGUGACCAAGGCGGUAGUGCCACAAGUAUGUGGGACUAUCAUUAUCAACCUUACUUCUUUUGGUACUCACACUAUGAAUAUGUGUAGCAUUACGCUCGAGAUUCAUUAAGAAUAAACCAUUCACCAUCGGAGCAUGACCAUAAAACAUAUCUCUCAUAUAAAUAGAACAACCAUUAUUCUCGGAUUUAAAUGAGUAGCCAUCUCGUAUUAAACGAGAUCCUGACACAAUGUUCAUGCUCAAACUUGGCACUAAAUAACAAUUAUUGAGGUUCAAAACUAAUCCCGUAGGUAAAUGUAGAGGUAGCGUGCCGACGGCGAUCACAUCGACCUUGGAACCAUUCCCGACGCGCAUCGUCACCUCGUCCUUCGCCAGUCUCCGCUUAUUCCGCAGCUCCUGCUUUGAGUUACAAAUGUGAGCAACUGCACCGGUAUCAAAUACCCAAGAGCUACUACGAGUACUGGUAAGGUACACAUCAAUUACAUGUAUAUCACAUAUACCUUUCGUUUUGCCGGCCUUCUUGUCCGCUAAGUAUUUGGGGCAGUUCCGCUUCCAGUGACCACUUUCCUUGCAAUAAAAGCACUCAGUCUCGGGCUUGGGUCCAUUCUUUGGCUUCUUCCCGGCAGCUUGCUUGCCGGGCGCGGCAACUCCCUUGCCGUCCUUCUUGAAGUUCUUCUUACCCUUGCCUUUCUUGAACUUAGUGGUUUUAUUCACCAUCAACACUUGAUGUUCCUUUUUGACUUCUAUCUCUGCUGAUUUCAGCAUUGCAAAUACUUCAGGAAUGGUCUUUUCCAUCCCCUGCAUAUUGAAGUUCAACACAAAGCUCUUGUAGCUCGGUGGAAGCGACCGAAGGAUUCUUUCAAUGACCGCGUCAUCCGGGAGAUUAACUCCCAGCUGAGUCAAGCGGUUAUGUAACCCAGACAUAGUGAGUAUGUGCUCACUGACAGAACUGUUUUCCUCCAUCUUACAUCUGAAGAACUUGUCGGAGACUUCAUAUCUCUCGACCCGGGCAUGAGCUUGAAAAACCAUUUUCAGCUCUUCGAACAUCUCAUAUGCUCCUUGUCUCUCAAAACGCUUUUGGAGCCCCGGCUCUAAGCUGUAAAGCAUGCCGCACUGAACGAGGGAGUAAUCAUCGGUACGUGUCUGCCAAGCGUUCAUAACAUCUUGUUCUGCAGGGAGAGCAGGUGCUUCACCUAGCGGUGCUUGUAGGACAUAGUCUUUCUUGGCAGCUAUGAGGAUGAUCCUCAGGUUCCGGACCCAGUCCGUAUAGUUGCUGCCAUCGUCUUUUAGCUUGGUUUUCUCUAGGAACGCGUUGAAGUUGAGGACAACGUUGGCCAUUUGAUCUACAAUACAUGUUGUAAAGAUUUUUAGACUAAGUUCAUGAUAAUUAAGUUCAUCUAAUCAAAUUAUUCAAUGAACUCCCACUUAGAUAGACAUCCCUCCAGUCAUCUAAGUAUAACAUGAUCCGAGUUAACUAGGCCGUGUCCGAUCAUCACGUGAGACAGACUAGUCAACAUCGGUGAACAUCUUCAUGUUGAUCGUAUCUUCUAUACAACUCAUGCUCGACCUUUCGGUCUUCUGUGUUCCGAGGCCAUGUCUGUACAUGCUAGGCUCGUCAAGUCAACCUAAGUGUUUGCAUGUGUAAAUCUAUCUUACACCCGUUGUAUGUGAACGUUGGAAUCUAUCACACCCGAUCAUCACGUGGUGCUUCGAAACAACGAACUGUCGCAACGGUGCACAGUUAGGGGGAACACUUUCUUGAAAUUAUUAUGAGGGAUCAUCUUAUUUACUACCAUCGUUCUAAGUAAACAAGAUGCAAAAACAUGAUAAACAUCACAUGCAAUCAAAUAAUAAUAGUGACAUGAUAUGGCCAAUAUCACAUAGCUCCUUUGAUCUCCAUCUUGGGGCUCCAUGAUCAUCUUGUCACCAGCUUGACACCAUGAUCUCCAUCAUCAUGAUCUCCAUCAUCGUGUCUCCAUGGAGUUGCUCGCCAACUAUUACUUCUACUACUAUGGCUAACAUGUUUAGCAAUAAAGUAAAGUAAUUUACAUGGCGUUUCUCAAUGACACGCAGGUCAUACAAAAAAAUAAAGACAACUCCUAUGGCUCCUGCCGGUUGUCAUACUCAUCGACAUGCAAGUCAUGAUUCCUAUUACAAUAGCAUGAACAUCUCAUACAUCACAUAUAUAUCAUUCAUCAUUCAUCACAACUUUGGCCAUAUCACAUCACAAAACACUUGCUGCAAAAACAAGUUAGACGUCCUCUAAUUGUUGUUGCAAGUUUUACGUGGCUGCAAGAGGGUUCUAGCAAGAACGUUUUCUUACCUACGUUAAAGCCACAACGUGAUUUGUCAACUUCUAUUUACCCUUCAUAAGGACCCUUUUCAUCAAAUCCGCUCCAACUAAAGUGGGAGAGACAAACACCCGCCAGCCACCUUAUGCAACUAGUGCAUGUCAGUCGGUGGAAUCGGUCUCACGUAAGCGUACGUGUAAGGUUGGUCCGGGCCGCUUCAUCCCACAAUACCGUUGAAGCAAAAUAAGACUAGUAGCGGCAAGAAAGUUGACAACAUCUACGCCCACAACAAAUUGUGUUCUACUCGUGCAAAAAGAACUACGCAUAGACCUAGCUCAUGAUUCCACUGUUGGGGAACGUUGCAGAAAACAAAAAUUUUCCUACGGUUUCACCAAGAUCCAUCUAUGAGUUCAUCUAGCAACGAGUGAUCGGAUUGCAUCUACAUACCUUUGUAGAUCACGCGCGGAAGCGUUCAAAGAGCGGGGAUGAGGAAGUCGUACUCGACGUGAUCCAAAUCACCGGAGAUCCUAGCGCCAAACGGACGGCAACUCUGUAUUCAACACACGUACGGUCAGCGUGACGUCUCCUCCUUCUUGAUCCAGCAAGGGUGAAGGAGAGGUCGAUGAAGAUCCAGCAGCACGACGGCGUGGUGAUGGAUGCAGGGGUCACCGCAGCAGGGCUUCACCGUUCUACUACGAGAGGGAGAGGUGUAGCAGGGGAGAGGGAGGCGCCAAGACUCAAGGGUGCGGCUGCCCCUCCCUCCCCCCUUUAUAUAGGCUCCCCUAGGGGGGCGCCGGCCCUAGGAGAUGAGGGCAAAUGGCAUUUCUCAACUAGAUUGCAAAAACCUUUCAAAUGAUUCAGAUCCAAAGACCAUGGCCAUGGCAAAGUGUGAACAACACUCGGACUGAACUCAAGCAAAGGGUAUAAUCUAGGUAGAAAUGAUCGUGCUCAAUAAUGGGAAGGUAUUCAUAAACAAUACCUACACCAGUUUUUUUCUGGAAACAGAAUUGAGAACAAUGAGGUGGUGAAACAAAGAGCAAGUAUUGUAGCACAAGGGUUCACGCAGAUACCCAACUAUUCUCCAGAGGUGGAAUCUCUUUCCGGUAACUUAUAUCAUUGGCAAUACAAAAUCAUCUAUCUCUGCAGUUGAUAGAUGCAGUGAUUACAUAUCCAUGUGGAUCACUAGAUUCAGACAUAUAUGAUUGAUUUCCGAUGGAAUCUCAAUUCUGAAUCGAAAUACAAAAUGCAACAUACAUUGUGUAAAACUAGUAAGUCACCAUACGACUUAUUGUGGUCGGUACAUAUGGUACAACCGACGUAGUGAGUUCCUUAUACAAAAGGGUUACUCCUGCAAAGAUGAUUAUGCAUGUUUGUAUGUCUGCAAUGAUGACACAUGUAAUCAUCUAAUGACGGAGUUUAAAUGAAGGAUUUGGGUAAACCAAAACACCACUCUUUACUACAACUUGAGCACCUUCAUUCAUACAUUAUGGUAUACUAUGUUGUCUAUAUCCAAGAUAUAUUGGAGAAAUUCAUUGUGGACAAAUAUUAUCAAUCCAUAACUCUCAUGGUAGUUCAUUAUCUAGACAUAGAGAAUGAUCUAUUUAGACCAAAAGAUGAUGGAAAUGAGAUAUUGGGACUCAACGUUCCAUAUGCCAUUGGACCGACCAAACACAAUUGGUUGGUACUCAAGAAUAUCUUCCGAUAUCUUCAAGGCAUGAAACAUCUUGUCCUGGUUUUUUAGUUUUGGAGAAAUCUGAACACCAAUAUCAUUGGAUACAUCGAUCAGAUCCCCACUAUGUCAGAUCGUAGACAAGUUUAGUGUUCCUACUAGGUGUGGUAGCCCUCUCAUGAAGAGUCUUUGAAACAGACCUCAUGGCUGCAUCCACCAACCAUUAUCUCAACGAUAAUGUUUCUUGUGUUGCUCGGAUGCAAACAGGUUACAUAAUAAGCAAUAUCACUAUAUUGCAUAUCUUGCAAGUCAAAUCAAUGCGACUGAUUUGUUCAGCGGGUCUCUACUAACUUCUAUGUUUUGGUAUGUGACGGCUUCGAAUUUUGCAAGAAUCAGGGGGAGCAUCUUCCUGAAUUUUUCCUGUUCAAUGCAUCAUAUUAUAAUCUUUUUCCCUUCAUGAGUUUACUUUACAGGUUCUCAUAAAGGUUUUUAAUGAGGUAAUAUCAACAUGAGAUCAUAUGACAUACUUCCUGUUUUCCCCACCGGGGUUUUGGGAAAGUAUAUAUGACACAUUUAUUGUCCUCUAAGCUCUAUGAGUUUUUCUCGUAUUGAGUUAAAAGAGAUAAUGACCAUUAUAUGUUGUAUCAUUUUCUCCUUAUUUUUCCCACUGGGUUUGAAGGAGUUUUAGCAACAUAUCAAACACCUAUCUCCUCAUAUUUUUCCCACAUGGUUUUUGGAGGAGCUUCUCAAGAUGAUGAUACUUACACUAACAAGCAUGGAUUAGGGGGAGUGUUAGGAUUUAAUUAAUCCUAUUAAUCCCUGCUUUUCCUAAUUGAGGCGGUUGUCUCGUGUCCCUUCGGACGUACCCCUUCGGGGGCUAUAUAUAUGUAAUCCCAUCAUCAAUGAGAACAACUAUUCUACUACUUGUCAUUUGCCUCUUGCAAUUACUUCGAACAGCUAUAAGCUUAACUGCAGGCACGCGACCAUGUCGGCGAUCAUGCUAACGACUGCCGAUGUUGCAACUGGCGAAGCUAAAAGCGACGAUCGGAGAAAUCAAAAGCUAUAAUCGGCAGGCCAUGCGGAGUUGCCAUGACAACGACGACUGGGUGGUGCAAUCGACCACCGGCGUGCUACGACGGGCAUUGCAAGGGGUUAGAACUGGGCUAUCAAGGGUGCUACAAGGACGACGACGAGCUGCAACUAGAGGAGUGCUUGGUGUUGCAACCAACUCGAUGACAAGCUGGAACCAGCAUGCUGGCGAGAUGCAACCGAAGGCGCACGAUGCUACAGCCGACACACAGCAAGCUGGAACCAGAGGGCACCCGAUUUUGCAAAAGUCAUGGGGGCAAAGCUGGAACCGAGCAUGCCUGGUGCUGCAACCGGUGCGGUGCAAGCAACUAUGACGAGCGAGGACCUCGAGCAUCGGUGAGCGGUGGUGUGUCUGAUGCUAGUUUGGCGAAGAGGGGUGCCGCCGACCAUGAGCGCGGCGGGCAUCGAUUUGCGAGCAGAAUGGACGUGCUGGUGCCGGGCUACGCGUGGGGUUGGGGAACACCUGCUUGGGAUCACCGAUCUAGUGGCAGUUAUGCACUUAAUCGUGUGAUUGCAGCGCGACCGGCCGGUCGGCGCCUAGCGCCGCCUUUUCACUAAUGAUACGUCUUCUUUGCUAGUGUUUUGUUUUACAGGCACAAGAAAAGUGGCUCUAGACGUAGGGUUUCUGCUCCCGAGCUCAAAUGCAUCCCAUGAACAGUAAAAUUAAAAAAAAAGUAAAAUGUUUAAAAAGUUGUGAUUUUUUUCAAUAAACAUUGUUAAAUGUUUUUGGACGUGCAUACUUCUUGAAGAAAAAACAUUCCUAAUGAUAUGGAAAAAAUGAUGCUCAAAAAGACUAUUGUUGAAAGUAUUUUGGAGUGUUGAUUUUGUUAUUUUUGCCUAGAACUCUAUGAAUGUGAUUUCAUCAGGAAAAUGUGCACACAAGAAGAAAACUAAGCACAUUAUACAUGUCAAUACAACAUGUAUUUUUUUAGGGGCGGUACAACAUGUAUUACGUUGUACUCCUAUUACUUGAUAAUAAUGUUUAUGGUUAAAGUUUUAAAAGCUUUAUAAGACAUGCCCAAAACAACAUCUACUUAUGACAUGAAGAGAUUAUCGAAAUUGUUAACUUCCGAACUUUCGGCAUUUGUCAUUAGAUCCGAAUGAUUCGUGGGGCAUCGAUGCCCAUGGCCCGCGCACAUCACUCGCUCGUGCAAAAAUUAUUAUGGUGAGGAGGAUUCCUAUGACUAUGAGAUUAUGCAACUCCCGAAUACCAAAUGAACACUUAGUGUGCUAUCAAACGUCACAACGUAACUGGGUGAUUAUAAAGAUGCUCUACAGGUGUCUCCGAUGGUGUUUGUUGAGUUGGCAUAGAUGGAGAUUAGGAUUUGUCACUCCGAUUGUCGGAGAGCUAUCUCUAGGCCCUCUCAAUAAUGCACAUCACUAUGAGCCUUGCAAGAAAUGUGACUAAUGAGUUAGUUACGGGAUGAUGCAUUACGGAACGAGUAAAGAGACUUGCCGGUAACGAGAUUGAACUAGGUAUGAUGAUACCAACGAUCGAAUCUUGGGCAAGUAACAUACCGAUGACAAAGGGAACAACGUAUGUUGUUAUGCGGUUAGACCAAUAAAGAUCUUCGUAGAAUAUGUGGGAACCAAUAUGAGCAUCCAGGUUCCGCUAUUGGUUAUUGACCGGAGAUGAGUCCCGGUCAUGUCUACAUAGUUCUCGAACCCAUAGGGUCCGCACGCUUAACGUUCGAUGGCGAUAUGUAUUGUUAGUUAUGUGAUUUGAUGUACCGAAGGUUGUUCGGAGUCCCGGAUGUGAUCACAAACAUGACGAGGAGUCUCGAAAUGGCCGAGACAAGAAGAUUGAUAUAUUGAAAGGUUAUGUUUGGACACCGGAAAGAUUUCGGAUAGGUUCGGGCAUUUUUCGGAGUACCGGGGGGUUACCGGAACCCCCCGGGGGGUUAAUGGGCCUUCAUGGGCUUUAGUGGAAAAGAGGAGGAGGCGGCCAAGAGGAGGUACGCGCCCCCCAAACCCAAUCUGAAUUGGGGAGGGGGCCGCCCCCUUUCCUUUAUCCCCUCUUCCCUUUCCUUCCCCUCCUAGUUGGACUAGGAAAGGGGGGAACCUACUCCUAGUAGGAGUAGGAUUCCCCCCCUUGGGGCGUGCCCUAUGAGGCCGGCCGGCCCCCUCCCCCACUCUUUUAUAUACGGGGCAGGGGGGCACCCCAUAGACACACAAGUUGAUUUCUUAGCCGUGUGCGGUGCCCCCCUCCACAGAUUUCCACCUCGGUCAUAUUGUGGUAGUGCUUAGGCGAAGCCCUGUGUUGGUAACUUCAUCAUCACCGUCAACACGCCGUCGUGCUGGCAAACUCUCCCUCGACCUCAGCUAGAUCUAGAGUUCGAGGGACGUCACCGAGCUGAAGGUGUGCAGAUCGCGGAGAUGUCAUGCGUUCGGUACUUGAUCGGUUGGAUCGCGAAGACGUUCAAGUAAAUCAACCGUGUUACUCAACGCUUCCACUUUCGGUCUACGAGGGUACGUAGACACACUCUCCCCUCUCGUUUCUAUGCAUUUCCUAGAUAGAUCUUGCAUGAUCGUAGGAUUUUUUUUAAAAUACCGCGUUCCCCAACAGUGGCAUCCGAGCCAGGUCUAUGCGUAGAUGUUAUAUGCAUGAGUAGAACACAAAGGUGUAGGAUCGAAAGUAUCUCUAGAGGGGGUGAUUAGACUACUUGACCAAAUAAAAAUCUAGCCUUUUCUCAAUUUUAAUUCUUGGCAGAUUUUAGCAACUUAGCACAAGUCAAGCAAACAACCUACACAUGCAGUUAUAAGAGUAUAGCAGCGGAAUGUAAAACAAUUGCAUAUGAAGGUUGUAACACCCCGGAUGUAACUUUCCCAAUUUGUACUCCAACUCUUGCCGUUUCCGGCGUUAGGUUAUAUUUAUUUCCUCGGGUUCGGGUCUUUGUCUUCGUGUGUUGUUAUCGCUGUCAUGCAUCUCAUAUCAUGUCAUCAUGUGCAUUGCAUUUGCAUACGUGUUCGUCUCAUGCAUUCGAGCAUUUUCCCCGUUGUCCGUUUUGCAUUCCGGCGCUUCGUUCUCCUCCGAUGGCCAUUUCUAGCUUUCUUUCGUGUGUGGGGAUUAAACAUUUCCAGAUUGGACCGAGAAUUGUCAAGCGGCCUUGGUUUACUACCGGUAGACCGCCUGUCAAGUUUCGUAUCAUUUGGACUUCGUUUGAUACUCCAACGGUUAACCGAGGGACCGAAAAGGCCUCGUGUGUGUUGCAGCCCAACACCUCUCCAAUUUGGCCCAAAACCCACCUAACUCUGCUCCAUCAUCUAGAGCGUUUGAUCACGACCGCGUGGCCGAAAACCGCACCUCAUUUGGACUCUCCUAGCUCCCUCUAUGCCUAUAAAUAGACCCCCCUAAAUUUCGGAUCUCCUUCUCCCCCGAAACCCUAGAAAUCGCCCCCGCACCGGCCGGACACGUCCGAAUCCGGCCGGACGCGUCCGCUCCGCUGCUCCCAGCCUCUCCCGCGCCGCCACGUGGCCACAGCCGCCGUCCCCACCGCCACGGCCCGCCAGGCCCAGGGAGGGCCCCCGCGGCCCGUAGCGCCGCNNNNNNNNNNNNNNNNNNNNNNNNNNNNNNNNNNNNNNNNNNNNNNNNNNNNNNNNNNNNNNNNNNNNNNNNNNNNNNNNNNNNNNNNNNNNNNNNNNNNNNNNNNNNNNNNNNNNNNNNNNNNNNNNNNNNNNNNNNNNNNNNNNNNNNNNNNNNNNNNNNNNNNNNNNNNNNNNNNNNNNNNNNNNNNNNNNNNNNNNNNNNNNNNNNNNNNNNNNNNNNNNNNNNNNNNNNNNNNNNNNNNNNNNNNNNNNNNNNNNNNNNNNNNNNNNNNNNNNNNNNNNNNNNNNNNNNNNNNNNNNNNNNNNNNNNNNNNNNNNNNNNNNNNNNNNNNNNNNNNNNNNNNNNNNNNNNNNNGCCCCUCUCCCUCAUCUCCGGCGCCGUUCCGGCGAGUACUCCGGCGAACGCCUCGGUAGGCGUGCAGAUCUGGAAACCCUAGAUCCGGUGAUUUUUUUUCGUCUAAGUCCUCGGAAUUUUCAGUCCAAGUGCUCAUGUUCGCGGCUCCAUAACUUUGCAUCCGUAGCUCCGAUUCAUGCAUAUAGCAUAUCAAAAUGUUCAUCUCAGAGAGUACAUCAUUUCACUCCAUUGCAUCAUUUUCAUUUGAGUGCAUCUUGAUGCUCGAAAUGCUGUUAGAAGAGGGCUACUUGAGAUAAUUGUCAGAUCUGCUACUCCAUUUAGCCUUUUGUCAUUUUUGCCAUGAUUAAUGUGUGCAUGAUAUGCCCUGAUGCUCUAGAUGUGUUUUGUUAAGGGUUUUGUCAUCUUUCCAGAGGUGCAACCCAUGUAUUUUCGUGAUGUGUGUGGUGACUUGUGCAAGCUUGCAAAGUGGUCCGUGCCUCUUUUGAGGAUGAUCAGUAAGGAUGUUUCACUAAGUCCAUGUAUUUUCAGGGACUUAGCAAUUUCACUAAGUCCUGGAGCUGUUUAUCUCAUGAUGCCAUAUGUUCAUGUUGUUUCCUAGUGAUCCGUGCCUUUUUCGAGGAUGAUCAGUAAGGAUGUUUUGUUAAUCUUGUAGUGCUCUAUCCAUCCAUGUCUUUGUUUGCAAUUAUGGAGCACCCUAGCUUGAGUCAAUCGAGCUCUACUUUGGCUACUUUGUGAAUCUGGGCAGAUUGUCAACUUGUUUGCAAUUUUGCCGAGGAUGUUUUAGUUGAUCCAUGCAUGCUAUGCUAUUGUUCUUGCCAUGUCUAGCUUGAAUUUUGUGCCUUCUUGGUGUAUGUAUGCUUGUCUUGCCAUGACUUGCACCGUAGUGAGUGCAUCGAGCUCGUAAACAUGCCUACUUGAGUUAUAUUUCAGCAUGUGCCAGUUUUCACUAAGUAUGAAAACUGAUUAUGUUUUUGCUAUGUUCACAUGCUUGCAAUUGUAUUUUAUGAUCCCUUUUGGCUCAAGGUCACUAAGGGACUUUUGUUAAGCUCUUUGAGUAGCUCCAUGCCAUGCUUUACUUUGCCAUGAUCAGAUCCUGUAGCAUGUAGUUUUGUUGCUUCGAAGAGGGCUACCUGAUCUAAAAUUCCAGACAAGUGUUGAUUUCACUAAGUCUCAGAUCUGUUUGUCAUAUGCAUUUUUGCCAUGCUUCUUUGAACCUGUUAAUGGAUGAAUUGGCCAUAGCUUAGUGCUAGACUUUUGUUAAGCAUCUUGUAUGCAUCCCUGCCAUGUAUUUUGUUGUCAUGUUUGGUUGCUGUAGCAUGUUCAUCUCAUUGCAUUUAGUUGGCUACUUGCUGUAAAUCGCAGACCGGUGCCAUAUUUGAAUCGCUUGCCAUUUCCAAACCGUAACUCCGAUUCCGGCGUUCUUUAUAUCGUUUUCAAGCGAUUUCGCCUCAUCUUCCAGUGGCACACUUGGUUUUCCAAGUUGAGGCCAGGUUCAUGCAUUUCCUAUCAUAUCUUGCAUUUUGCAUCCCGCAUCGCAUUCCGCAUAACAUAUCAUCAUUGCAUCAUAUUGCUUGGUCUCGCACGUGGUUGAUUGUGCCCUUGUUGCUUGUUUGUCUUGUUUGGGUAGAGCCGGGAGACGAGUUCGCUAAUGAGGAGCCCGUUGAGUUUGCUUUUGAGGAUCCAGUCAACUCUGACAACUGUGCAGGCAAGAUGAUCAUACCCUCGAAAUCACUACUAUCUUUGCUAUGCUAGUUUGCUCGCUCUUUUGCUAUGCCAUUGCUACGAUGCCUACCACUUGCUUUCAAGCCUGCCAAAUUGCCAUGUCAAACCUCUAACCCACCAUUGUCCUAGCAAACCGUUGAUUGGCUUUGUUACCGCUUUGCUCAGCCCCUCUUAUAGCGUUGCUAGUUGCAGGUGAAGAUUGGAGGCCGUUCCUUGUUGGAACAUUUAUUUACUUGUUGGGAUAUCAUUAUAUUGCCAUGUUAUCUUAAUGCAUCUAUAUACUUGGUAAAGGGUGGAAGCUCGGCCUCUCGCCUAGUGUUUUGUUCCACUCUUACCGCCCUAGUUUCCGUCAUAUCGGUGUUAUGUUCCCAGAUUUUGCGUUCCUUACGCGGUUGGGUUAUAAUGGGAACCCCUUGAUAGUUCGCCUUGAUUAAAGCUUUUCCAGCAAUACCCAACCUUGGUUUUACCAUUUGCCACCUAGCCUUUUCUUUCCCUUGGGUUCUGCAGACUCAAGGGUCAUCUUAUUUUAAACCCCCUGGGCCAGUGCUCCUCUGAGUGUUGGUCCACCUGUCAGCUGCCGGUGGCCACCAGGGGCAACUCUGGGCUGGCCUACCCAUACCUAAGACAAUCUGAGUGUGCCCUGAGAAAGAGAUAUGUGCAGCUCCUAUCGGGAUUUGUCGGCACAUUCGGGCGGUGUUGCUGGUCUUGUUUUAACCUGUCGAAGUGUCUUGAGUAACCGAGAUACCGAGUCUGAUCGGAACAUCUUGGGAGGAGGUCUAUUCCUUCGUUGACCGUGAGAGCUUGUCAUGGGCUAAGUUGGGACUCCCUUGCAGGGAUUGAACUUUCGAAAGCCGUGCCCACGGUUAUGGGCAGAUGGGAAUUUGUUAAUGUCCGGUUGUAGAUAACUUGAACCUUAACUUAAUUAAAAUGAAUCAACUGACUGUGUUACCGUGAUGGCCUCUUCUCGGCGGGGUCCGGGAAGUGGACACGGUGUUGGAGUAAUGUUUGCGCAGGUUGCUCUCUAGUUUCUCGCACGCGCUUUGCCUCCUAUUCUCGCUCUCUUUUGCGAAUAAGUAGCCGCCAUACUUUCUAGUCGCUUGCUGCAGCUCCACUUAUAUUUACCUUGCCAUACCUAUAAGCUUAAAUAGUCUUGGUCGCGAGGGUGCGAGAUUGCCGAGUCCCUGUGGCUCACAGAUUACUAUUACACCAGAUGCAGGGCCUGAUGAUUCCGCUCUAGGAGACGCGUAUGAGCUCAAGUGGGAGUUCGACGAAGACUCUCAACGUUACUAUGUUUCCUUUCCCGAUGAUCAGUAGUGGUGCCCAGUUGGGGGUGAUUGGGACCGUGUCGCUUGUUGGGUUAUCUUUUAUUUUGGCGCCGUAGUUGGGCCAUGAGUAUUUGGAUGAUGUAAUUUUAUUUAUGUACUUGAUUGACAUGGCGAGUGUAAGCCAACUAUGUUAUCUCCCCUUUUAUUAUCAUAUUACAUGGGAUGUUGUGAAGAUUGCCUAACUUGCGAAACAUGCCUUCAAUGCGAUUAUGUCUCUAAGUCGUGCCUCGACACGUGGGAGCUAUAGUCGCAUCGAGGGUGUUAUAAAGGUAAAUGGAGUACUUUGGAGGGAGCAAACGCAAUGUAGACACGGAGAUUUUUGGUGUGGUUUUGAUUGGUGGUGCUAUCGUACAUCCACGUUGAUGGAGACUUCAACCCACGAAGGGUUACGAUUGCCUGAGUCCACGGAGGGCUCCACCCAUGAAGGGUCCACGAAGAAGCAACCUUGUCUAUCCCACCAUGGCCAUCGCCCACGAAGGACUUGCCUCACUAGGGUAGAUCUUCACGAAGUAGGCGAUCUUCUUGCCCGUACAAACUCCUUGGUUCAACUCCACAAUCUUGAUGGAGGCUCCCAAGUGACACCUAACCAAUCUAGGAGACACCACUCUCCAAGAGGUAACAAAUGGUGUGUUGAUGAUAAACUCCUUGCUCUUGUGCUUCAAAUGAUAGUCUCCCCAAGACUCAACUCUCUCCCAUAGGAUAGGAUUUGGUGGAAAGAUGAUUUGAGUGGAAAGCAACUUGGGGAAGGCUAGAGAUCAAGAUUUAUAUGGUUGGAAUGGAAUAUCUUGACCUCAACACAAGUGUAGGUGGUUCUCUCUCAGAAAAUGUAUGUUGGAAGUAUAGGCAUGUUCUGAUGGCUCUCUCCACGAAUGAAGAGUGGGUGGAGGGGUAUAUAUAGCCUCCACACAAAAUCUAACCGUUACACACAAAUCACCAAACUUGGUGGGACCGAAUCAUACAACUUGGUCAGACCGAUUUAGUUCAUAAUGUGACCGUUAGGGUUUUCGGUGGGACCGACAUGUCAACUCAGUGGGACCGAUAUCAUUAGGGUUAGGGCAUAACGUAAUCUCGGUGAGACCGAUUACAGAAACUCGGUGAGACCAAUUUUCGUAAUAGACUAACCAGAGAGUUGGUCAGGCAAUCUCGGUGGGACGAUUCGCUCUUUCGGUAGGACCGAAAUGUUAUGAAAGGGAAACAGAGAGUUUGCAUUGCAAUCUCGGUGGGACCGAUCGCUCAUCUCGGUUGGGACGAAACGUUAUGAAGGGAAACAGAGAAAUUACAAUCCCAUCUUGGUGAGACCGAGAUCCCUGUCGGUAGGACCGAAAAGACUAGGGUUUGUGGCAGUGGCUAUGUCAAGUGAACUCGGUGGCACCGGAUAGAUCAAAUUGGUGGGGCUGAGUUUGACUUUUGGUUUGGGAUAUAUUUGGAUAUGAGAAAGUAGUUGAGCGGUUUUGGAGCAUAUCACUAAGAAUUUUGAGCAAGAACCUCAUUAAGCAACAUCUCACCCCCUCUUAAUAGUAUUGGCUUUUCCUAUGGACUCAAUGGGAUCUUGGAUCACUAAAAAUAAAAUGUAGAGUCUUGUGCUUUGAGCUUGAGCCAAUCCUUUUGUCCUUAGCAUUUUGAGGGGUCCACUUUCCAAUCCAUGCCAUGCCAAUCAUUGAGCUUUUGCUGAAAUAUUUAUCUUCAAGUAGCAUUAGCUCAAUGGGCUAUAUGUUGUUAGGAAUUACCAAAACCACCCAGGGAUAGUUGCACUUUCAAUCUCCCCUUUUUGGUAAUUGAUGACAACAUAUAGAUCAAAGCUUCGACAAAUGAUUAUAAGAUUGAAAAACAUCGUCGCUUUGAGAAGUAUGUGAUAAACAAGAGCUCCCCCUAAAUUUGUGCAUUAUUUAAAAUUUGCUUUUGAAUGCAAAUGCACAAUCGAUUAGGAUCAUGGGUUACUCUUCCAUGUCACAUACAUCUUGGUGGAGCGCUCAAAAUGAUAGAAAUUAAAAGCAUGCACUCAUCACCAAGCAAGUGAAUGAUCAUAUAUGGAAUAUAAAGGAUAGCAUCAUUCAACCAAACAUUAAGGUAGCAUAUGAUCAACCACAUGAACAUAUGAGUAUCUCACAAGGACAUAAAGUAUCUCACACGAGCACACAAUAAAGUACUUCAACCAAAAUAGCAAGAGAGACAAAAAGCAAGACACUCUCUCUCGAAGCCUAUGAUAUAUACAUGUUUCUCCCACUUUGGCAACAAGUUACCAAAAAGUUUGAAAAUGCAUAGUGCUCUACGUCUCUCAGGCUUGGUCUUCAGGAGGUGGUGUAGAUAGAACUCCAAGGACGAAGGCUUCCGAUGAUGUAGUUGGAGCUGAUGGAGUGGGUGCUGGAGGUGGCACUGGAGCUGUAGCUGCUGGUGCUGACACUGAAGCUCUAGCAUCUGAGACUGGCACUGCAACAGACCUUGGACCUCGUGGCACAUGCUUAAAAGCAUCAGUGGUUGCUUUUCCUCUCCUCUCCUCUGCUUCCUCCUGAAGCUGCUCAACUGCAGUCUGAAUCUCAGUCACCUUCAGAUCAAGAUAAUAGAAUUUUGUUUCCACAAUCCUCUCCAGGCUCUCCUGAGUCUGAGUCAGGGUGGCCAAGCCCUUCUCAAUCCUCAGUGUAGCUUGAAUCAGAUAGCCUAACUGAUCUUGCUUGCUCUUCAGGAAGACUCGAGAUGCCUCUUCAACACUUGGCAUCUGGGCAGCUUUCUCAUCCUUUUCCUUAGCUCUCUACUCCUGGACUUGAUCUGAUGAUGGUUCUUCCUCAUUCAUCACAACAGUGUUGUCUUCAAACUCAGGAUAUAGAGGUAGAUGCUCCUUGUACAGCAAGUAAGUCCCUGUUCCCAUCUUAGAGUUGAUGAGCUCCUGAAUAUGUGGAGCAUAUCCACAACUCCUCUUUUGAUCAGCAGCAGUCCUUUUGAUUGUUUCUACAAUCAAGCUCAUAACUUUGAAUUUCUGAGGAACAUCAAAAAUUUGCAGCAUGUUGAUGGAGUGUCCUCUGAUCAUCUUGUGAUCUCCUGACUUGGUUAGCAAUGUGUGCCUUAAGAUCCAGUUAAUGGUAGGCACACCAGACAACAAGAAAUGCACAGAUCCAAGCUUGUAAGUUUCUAAAGCCUUAUCAGGGAUCUCCUUGUACAUGUUUGUCAUUGAGUUGUGGUCUUUCUUCUUGGUGGCAUACACAUCCAAGUCAUCUUCAUGUUCCUCUAGGGCAUUGAUUAGCUUGGCCCAUUCAUCAACCGUGGACUGGUAUCUGCUACCCUCAGACAUCCAAACUAUCCUCCCAUCUGGAUAGAAGUGGGCAGUGGAGUAGAACUGCAUGAUCAACUCAUCAUUCCAUUUGGUGAGCUUUUGUCCAAUGAAUUCAUCUACUCCACAAGCCUUAAAGCUGUCAUACACUCCAGGGAAGUGAUCUUCAUUUUCCUGGAUGAACUCCCAGUCCACCCAUUUCAUGUCACACACUAUGGGCUUCUUGUCAAGCAGAAUAGUCUCAUAGAAAUCUUGUUGUUCCUUUGUAUGGAACCUAUAGUCAACUGCAGUCCUCCUCCUAACAGCAUAGGGAUCAGACUGUCGCCACAACCUCAGUCCUGCAUCUUUCCUGAUGUGCAUGUCCUCAGCGACUAGGUGAGCAUCAUUGUGGUCAGGAAUUUUGGGCUUCAACUUCCUCAAAACAAGAGAAUCAUCAUCAUCUUCUUCUUCUUCAGCUUCAAGCACUGGGGCCUUGUUCUUCUCCUCAGCAGGUAUACUCCCGGUGUUCCUCUUGGGUUUUGGGGGUUUCUAAGCAGCAGCCUUGGGAGCAGACUUGGGCUUAGAUGGAGCAGCCCUGACUUGAUUGCAUCUCCCAUAAGCUUCUGAGCCUUAGGAGCUGGUGCAGCAUCCUCUUCCUCCUCCUCUUCUUCUGAAUCUCUCAUAAUGAAGGAUCUACCAAGUACUCUGGUAGUGGUCUUCUUGACCUUUUUUUUCUUUUCUUUCCUUCUCUAACUGCCUCUUCAGUUGGCUUGGAGGUUUCAGCAGUUGAGGCUCUGGCCUUUGACAUGGGAAUCCUCUUUGUUGGAGCCUUCUUGUGCAUCCCUGGCUUUGUUGUAGCAGCUGAGCCAUACUCUUUCUUGAGCACCCUUUUCUUGGAGCUGACUUCUUCCUUAACAGCCACAUAAUCCUCAUCCUCAGAAUUUGAGGUCUUCUUCUUCCUUGUUCUGGUGGCUGCCCUGGGCAAGUUGCUUGGUGUGCUCCUGCUGCCCUCAUCAGAAGUGCUAGAGGGACUAGUGCCCUCACUCAUAUGAACCUGCUCCUCAGACUUGUUUUGGCUGUCACUUUGAUCAGACAUCUUGCAGGCAAACUGUUAGCAAACCCUGUGAAUAGGUUGUAGAUGAGGUAGAGUAGAUGAGCAUCACAAAGUGCAGAUUUUUUGCAAAACAGAUGACUUAAAAACUUAGUUUUAGUUCUUCACAGAAAGCAUUUCGGAUCUACCGAUUUGCAAACUUGGUGAUACCAAAGCAGCUUUUGGAACCUAAACUAGUGAACUCGGUCAGACCGAGUCACAGUUCGGUGGCACCGAGACUGCUAGGGUUUCAGAGAGAAUCAAACUCGGUCACACCGAUUUGCAAUUUUUGGUCAGACCAAAAACGCAUGUGCAAUGGCCUAAGCCAACUCGAUGAGACCGAUUUCUACAACUCGGUCGGUCCGAGAUGAGUUUGGCGGAGACCUAACCCUAAAUUUUCAAAUCAAAUCAAAUCUACGGGAUGCUUUCCCUAGAUAGGAUAAUUUCAUACGUGGCAAGAAUCAUGGCAAAGCAAUGUGCUAUGAAUCGGAGUUAAGGAAUAGCACAAAGAUCAAGUUCAUACCCUACUUCGGCGGUGAACUUUCUACAGCGGCAACGGCGUGGCAGAUUGCCAUUGACGGCGACGGAGACCAGCGGCGAGAGGUCGCUGGCAGCAAGAGGACGAUCCGGAGACCCGAGGAGGCAGAGCAGGUCACACGCGGGUGAAAGGUUUUGGAAAUUUUUCCAAAAUUUAACCCGUCAGUAUAUAUAACCUGACCCUGUCGGUGUGACCGAGUGGAACAACUCGGUGGCAUCGAGAUGCAGAACUGCAAGCGGUUACUGCAACUCGGUGUGACCGAAAAGUUCUAGUCGGUUGCACCGAGAUUGAAAACCUAGAUCAACUUAGUGAUCUCGGUGUGACCGAAAUGGAUGACUCGGUCAUACCAAAAUGCACAAAGAGGUUUUGGAAGUUUAAGUCUAUGACAAAUCGGGGACUCCGAGUGCUCCUCACACAGAGUGGUUCGAAUCUGACUUGAUCAAACUUUGUGAUGUAGCAUGAGUAGAGUUUGAGACGAGGAAAGCAUAGAUAGCUAGAGGGAUUUAUUAGGCAUUCUUGUCCAUCCAUUUGGCAAAAGAGAAAAAGCCAAACAAUCAAAGCAACAAAUGAAUGUCCUUGAAUGAGUAAAAUAUGCAACCAACAUGCUCACACAAUAAGAUGGCAAAAGAAAUAUGUGACCAAGCAUGCACAAACACUCUAGCAUCUAUCAAGCAAUUUAGCGAUGACUAGGUCAUCUAUAUAUGAGUAUAUUGACUUAAGAGUCAAAUGAGAACAUUUGAUCGUAGGUCAUACUCAUCGUUUAAGCACAAGUGGGGUUGCCACUUUUACAUAAAGCAUUGUUGUGUUCACACCAUUAGAGUUGCUUUAGCUCAAUUAAUUAGAGUAAAGCUCCCCCUAGAUGUGAUAUCCCCCCUAAGAGGGAUGAACUAACCUUGGAUUUUGUCGAUGAUGACUUCAUGUAGGUGUUGAAGAUGUAGAUGCUCAAUGUUGAUGUAGAUCAAUCGGAGCAAUCCAUUGGAGUGAGUUGCACUUUCAAUACCUACACGGGUUAGUCCCACAAGGAAUAAACAAGGAUAUCCAUAUCCAUAGAGUGAUAUUCACAUGAGAUAAUGUCCAUGAAUGCAUUAGGUUACCUUGUCCCUUGUCUUACAAACAAGAGGGUUUGUGACUCCUUGAACUAGUGCAAGAUAUGGAAGUUGUUUGCACUUGUCCUCGCCAAAAUGAUAUGAGUGAAGUGUGUUGGCGGAGUCACCCUCAAGAACUCUCUAGUUCUUCUUCUUCGGGAUCCACACCAUCUUGAUGGGGAUCCUUGGAGUUCUAGUUGUACUUGAUGAAGUAGAACUUGAUGUAGUCUUGGGAACCCACUUGACCAAGGCUUUGGGAGCUUCUUCAAAUUCAUCAAUCUCCUCUUGAAGCUUGUCCUUGCCUUUUUUGCUUGUGGUGGAAGAUCAUCUUGAACUUGUGUUCCUUGGAAAGAAGUAGGAUUAGACUUCUCUUGUUAAGGAACAAACUUCGUCUUGGGGUAUUAAUAUUCUUCCCACUCAACUCCAUUGGCAUUGAAAUUUCUUUCAAAACCAACACCUUGAUUCUUCCGGUGUCUUCCUUGCUUGCGUACAAUUUCCUCAAAUUGCUUACUUCCGGCAAGGCUCUUGUAAACACCUUUCUCUAUAAUUCCCUUCAAUAAGAUAUUUUCUUGAUCAAGUGUAACUUGACUAAGAGAAUCAUUAGUGGAAUCAAGAGAACUACUAGAAGCAACAUCAUUGGGUUUAGCAUGAUUAUUGUUACUACUAGAAGAAGAAUCUUUCUUGUUCUUGUUGCUAGAUUUAACUUGUGACAUGUAAGUAGACAAGAGUAAAUGCUUGGCAAUGUAAGAAGAACUCUUCUUGCGAAGAUCAUCAUUGAUUGCCUUUAAGAACUCAUGCUCUUGCUCAAGGUUGAGCUUUUCAAAGCGUAACUUCUCAUGAGUCUUUAAAAGCUCUUGAUGAUUUUCCAAGGUAGUUUCAUGAGCUAACUUAAGAGUGUUUAGCUCUUUAGUUAGACGCCCAAUAUCCUUCUUAUCAUCGUAAUUUGUUUUGUCUUGAUUAGCAUGAUUAAUAGCAAGUUCAUCAUAGUUUUCAUCACUAGAAUUGUCAACAAGUAAAUCAUCAUCACCUAGCAAGUCAUCUUCAUCACUAUUGAAAUCAACAUACUCGGGGUGUGAUACCUUUGGGCCUUUAGACAUGAAGCAUCUUCCAAUUCCUUCAUUUGGUGACUCAAAUAUGUCGUAGGAGUUGGUUGACACAAGUGCUAGACCGGCAACACCUUCAUCUUGAGUAUAUUUGGAGUCGGAGUGAUAGCUUCUCUCGGAGUGAUCGUCGGAGCCGGAUACCCAUUCACCAACGUGAGCUUGAUGUCUUUGUUUUGUGUAGCCCCUUGAUGAUCUAUCCUUCCUUUCCGAAUCCUUGCUUCUCCGUGAUGUUCUUCGUUCAUAACGGUCAUCUCUACUCCUUCUCUUUCUUGGUGGUGAUUCUUCUCUUCUUUUGUAGGGACUCGUACACUCAUUGGAGUAGUGUCAGGGUCUUCCACGAUUGUAGCAAUUUCGUUCACGACUUGAGGAUCUUUUGUCAUUGUAGGACCUUGACUUGGAACUUCUUUCCUUGCUUCUACUCUUGUAGAACUUGUUGAAGUUCUUCACAAUUAGGCUCAAUUCUUCAUUGAAGUUUUGUUUCUCACUUGAUGAUGUUGGAGCAUCAUAUGAGGCUUUGUAAGCACCACUUGACUUGUUGUGAAGCUCUUCCUUAUCCUUGAGUGACAUCUCAUAAGCAACAAUCCUUCCAAUGACUUCCGUUGGCUUGAGAUCUUUGUAAUUGGGCAUCAUUUGGAUCAAUGUGCACACGGUAUCAUAUUUUCCAUCCAAGGCUCUUAGGAUCUUCUUGAUGAUGAAUCUAUCGGUCAUCUCUUCACUUCCUAAGCCGACAAUCUCAUUUGUGAUGAGAGCAAGCCUAGAGUACAUUUCGGCGACGCCUUCACCACCCUUCAUUUUGAACUUGUAAAGUUGACUUUCAAGCACAUCCAAUUUGGAUUCCUUGACGGAGUCGGUACCUUCGUGCAUAUCAAUCAAAGUAUCCCAAAUUUCCUUUGCAUUCUCAAGACGGCUGAUUUUGUUGAAUUCUUUGGGGCAUAAUCCGUUGAAGAGAAUAUCACAAGCUUGAGAAUUGUAUUGCAGCAUCUUCAACUCUUCCGCGCUAGCCUCACGGUUCGGUUCCCUCCCAUCAAAGAAUUCACCUUGCAAGCCAAUACACACAAUAGCCCAAAUGGUGGGGUUAUGUCCAAGAAUAUGCAUUUUCAUCUUAUGCUUCCAACUAGCAAAAUUAGUACCAUCAAAGUAAGGACCUCUACGGUGGUAAUUUCCCUCACUAGACGCCAUACUCUCCUAGGUUGUGAAACCAAGGCUAUGAUCACCAAAGCUAUGGAAAUCAAGGCAAAUUGAGACCAAAGCUCUGAUACCACUUGUAGGAUCGAAAAUAUGUUUAGAGGGGGGGGGGGUGAUUAGACUACUUGACCAAAUAAAAAUCUAGCCUUUUCCCAAUUUUAAUUCUUGGCAGAUUUUAGCAACUUAGCACAAGUCAAGCAAACAACCUACACAUGCAAUUCUAAUAGUAUAGCAGCGGAAUGUAAAACAAUUGCAUAUGAAGGUAAAGGGAGGAGUUUGGAGGGAGCAAACGCAAUGUAGACACAAAGAUUUUUGGCGUGGUCCCGAUAGGUGGUGUUAUCGUACAUCCAUGUUGAUGGAGACUUCACCCCACGAAGGGUAACGAUUACGUGAGUCCACGAAGGGCUCCACCCACGAAGGGUCCAUGAAGAAGCAACCUUGUCUAUCCCACCAUGGCCAUCGCCCACGAAGGACUUGCCUCACUAGGGUAGAUCUUCAUGAAUUAGGCGAUCUCCUUGCCCGUACAAACUCCUUGGUUCAACUCCACAAUCUUGACGGAAGCUCCCAAGUGACACCUAACCAAUCUAGGAGACACAACUCUCCAAGAGGUAACAAAUGGUGUGUUGAUGAUGAACUCCUUGCUCUUGUGCUUCAAAUGAUAGUCUCCCCAACACUCAACUCUCUCUCAUAGGAUAGGAUUUGGUGGAAAGAUGAUUUGAGUAGAAAGCAACUUGGGGAAGGCUAGAGAUCAAGAUUUAUGUGGUUGGAAUGGAAUAUCUUGACCUCAACACAAGUGUAGGUGGUUCUCUCUCAGAAAAUGUAUGUUGGAAGUAUAGGCAUGUUCUGAUGGCUCUCUCCACGAAUGAAGAGUGGGUGGAGGGGUAUAUAUAGCCUCCACACAAAAUCUAACCGUUACACACAAAUCACCAAACUCGGUGGGACCGAAUCAUACAACUCAGUCAGACCGAUUUAGUUCAUAAUGUGACCGUUAGGGUUUUUGGUGGGACCGACAUGUCAACUCGGUGGGAGCGAUAUCAUUAGGGUUAGGGCAUAACGUAAUCUCGGUGAGACCGAUUACACAAACUCGGUGAGACCGAUUUUGGUAAUAGGCUAACCAGAGAGUUGGUCAGGCAAUCUCGGUGGGACCGAUUUGCUCUUUCGGUAGGACCGAAACGUUAUGAAAGGGAAACAGAGAGUUUGCAUUGCAAUCUCGGUGGGACCGAUCGCUCAUCUUGGUUGGACCGAAACGUUACAAAAGGAAACAAAGAGAUUACAAUCCCAUCUCGGUGAGACUGAGAUCACUAUCGGUAGGACCGAAAAGACUAGGGUUUGUGGCAGUGGCUAUGUCAAGUGAACUCGGUGGCGCCGGAUAGAUCAAAUCGGUGGGGCCGAGUUUGACUUUUGGUUUGGGAUAUAUUUGGAUAUGAGAAAGUAGUUGAGGGGUUUUGGAGCAUAUCACUAAGCAUUUUGAGCAAGAACCUCAUUAAGAAACACCUCACCCCCUCUUAAUAGUAUUGGCUUUUCCUAUGGACUCAAUGUGAUCUUGGAUCACUAAAAAUGAAAUGUAGAGUCUUGUGCUUUGAGCUUGAGCCAAUCCUUUUGUCCUUAGCAUUUUGAGGGGUCCACUUUCCAAUCCAUGCCAUGCCAAGCAUUGAGCUUUUGCUGAAAUAUUUAUCUUCAAGUAGCAUUAGCUCAGUGAGCUAUAUGUUGUUAGGAAUUACCAAAACCACCCAGGGAUAGUUGCACUUUCAAAAGGAGUUGUGGGCGUGGGUAUAUACAUAUUGCUUGCCGUCACUAGUUGUUUCUUGAUUCGGAAGUAUUGUUGGAUGAAGCGGCCUGGACCGACAUUACAUGAUCGCAUUGAUGAGACUGGUUCUACCGACGUGCUUUGCACACAGGUGGCUGGAGGGUGUCAGUUUCUCCAACUUUAGUUGAAUCGGAUUCAAUGAACAUGGUUCUUUCUGAAGAUCAAAAAGCGAUCACUAUACCGCGUUGUGGUUUUUGAUGCGUAGGUAAGAACGGUUCUUGCUAAGCCCGUAGCAGCCACAUAAAACUUGCAACAACAAAGUAGAGGACGUCUAACUUGUUUUUGCAGGGCAUGUUGUGAUGUGAUCUAGUCAAGGCAUGAUUGUAUAAAUUGUUGUAUGAGAUGAUCAUGUUUUGUAACAUAGUUAUCGGCAACUGGCAGGAGCCAUAUGGGUGUCGCUUUAUUGUAUGAAUUGCAAUCGCCAUGUAAUUGCUUUACUUUAUCACUAAGCGAAAGCGAUAGUCGUGGAAGCAAUAGUUGGCGAGACGACAGCGAUGCUACGAUGGAGAUCAAGGUGUCAAGCCGGUGACGAUGGUGAUCAUAUCGGUGCUUUGGAGAUCGAGAUCAAAGGCACAAGAUGAUGAUGGCCAUAUCACAUCACUCAUAUUGAUUGCAUGUGAUGUUUAUCCUUUAUGCAUCUUAUUUUGCUUAGUACGGCGGUAGCAUUAUAAGAUGAUCUCUCACUAAAUUUCAAGGUAUAAGUGUUCUCCCUGAGUAUGCACCAUUGCUACAGUUCGUCGUGUCGAGACACCACGUGAUGAUCGGGUGUGAUAAGCCCUACGUUCACAUACAAUGGAUGCAAGCCAGUUUUGUACAAGCAGAAUACUCGUGUUAAACUUGACAAGCCUAGCAUAUGCAGAUAUGGCCUCGGAACACUGAGACCGAAAGGUCAAGCGUGAAUCAUAUAGUAGAUAUGAUCAACAUAGUGAUGCUCACCAUUGAAAACUACUCCAUCUUACGUGAUGAUCGGACAUGGUUUAGUUGAUAUGGAUCACGUGAUCACUUAGAUGAUUAGAGGGAUGUCUAUCUAAGUGGGAGUUCUUAAGUAAUAUGAUUAAUUGAACUUUAAUUUAUCAUGAACUUAGUACCUGAUAGUAUUUUGCAUGUCUAUGUUGUUGUAGAUAAAUGGCCAGUGCUAUUGUUCCGUUGACUUUUAAUGCGUUCAUAGAGAAAGCUAAGUUGAAAUAUGAUGGUAGCAACUACACGGACCAGUUCCGUAACUUGAGGAUUAUCCUCAUUGCUGCACAAAAGAAUUACGUCCUAGAAGCACUGCUAGGUGCCAAAGCCGCUGCAGGAGCAACUCCAGAUGUUAUGAACACCUAGCAGAGCAAAGAUGAUGACUACUCGAUAGUUCAGUGUGCCAUGCUUUACGACUUAGAACCGGGACUUCAACGACGUUUCGAAUGUCAUGGAGCAUAUGAGAUGUUCCAGGAGUUGAAGUUAAUAUUUCAAGCAAAUGCCCGGAUUGAGAGAUAUGAAGUCUCCAAUAAGUUCUACAGCUGCAAAAUGGAGGAGAAUAGUUCUGUCAGUGAACACAUACUCAGAAUGUCUGGGUACCACAAUCACUCGACUCAACUGGGAAUUAAUCUUUCGGUUGAUAGUGUCAUUAACAGAGUUCUUCAAUCACUGCCACCAAUCUACAAAAGCUUUGUGAUGAAUUAUAAUAUGCAAGGGAUGGACAAGAAAAGUCCUGAGCUCUUCGCAAUGCUAAAGGCUGCGGAGGUAGAAAUCAAGAAGGAGCAUCAAGUGUUGAUGGUCAACAAGACCACCGGUUUCAAGAAGAAGGGCAAAGGGAAGAAAGGGAACUUCAAGAAGAACGGCAAGCAAGUUGCUGCUCAAGUAAAGAAGCCCAAGUCUGGACCUAAGCCUAAGACUAAGUCCUUCUACUGCAAAGGGACUGGUCACUGGAAGCAGAACUGUCCCAAGUAUUUGGCGGAUAAGAAGGAUGGCAAAGUGAAAGGUAUAUUUGAUAUACAUGUUAUUGAUGUGUACCUUGCUAAUGCUCGCAGUAGCGCCUGGUAUUUGAUACUGGUUCUGUUGCUAAUAUUUGCAACUCGAAACAUGGGCUAUGGAUUAAGCGAAUAUUGGCUAAGGACGAGGUGACGAUGCGCGUGGGAAAUGGUUCCAAAGUCGAUGUGAUUGCCGUCGGCAUGCUACCUCUAAAUCUACCUUCGGGAUUAGUUUUAGACCUAAAUAAUUGUUAUUUGGUGCCAGCGUUAAGCAUGAACAUUAUAUCUGGAUCUUGUUUGAUGCGAGAUGGUUAUUCAUUUAAAUCAGAGAAUAAUGGUUGUUCUAUUUAUAUGAGUAAUAUCUUUUAUGGUCAUGCACCCUUGAUGAGUGGUCUAUUUUUGUUGAAUCUCGAUAGUAGUGAUACACAUAUUCAUAGUAUUGAAGCCAAAAGAUACAAAUUUAAUAAUGAUAGUGCAACUUAUUUGUGGCACUGCCGUUUAGGUCAUAUUGGUGUAAAGGGCAUGAAGAAACUCCAUGCUGAUGGACUUUUGGAAUCACUUGAUUAUGAAUCACUUGAUGCUUGCGAACCAUGCCUCAUGGGAAAGAUGACUAAGACUCCGUUCUCUGGAACAAUGAGUGAGCAAUAGACUUGUGGGAAAUAAUACAUACUGAUGUAUGCAGUCUGAUGAGUGUUGAGGCUCGCGGCGGUUAUCGUUAUUUUUUGACCUUCACAGAUGAUUUGAGUAGAUACGGGUAUAUCUACUUGAUGAAACAUAAGUCUGAAACAUUUGAAAAGUUCAAAGAAUUUUAGAGUGAAGUGGAAAAUCAUCAUAACAAGAAAAUAAAAUUUCUACGAUCUGAUCGUGGAGGUGAAUAUUUGAGUUAUGAGUUUGGUCUUCAUUUGAAACAAUGCAGAAUAGUUUCGCAACUCAUGCCACCUGGAACACCACAAGGAAUCCAGAUUUCACAAGAGAACCAAGCAUAUCAAGAGAUGCUUCAGUUCCAUCUGCGAUCAAGUCAAGGAGGGAGACAUAGAGAUCUGCAAGAUACAUACGGUUCUGAAUGUUGCAGACCCGUUGACUAAGCCUCUCUCACGAGCAAAACAUGAUCAGCACCAACACUCCAUGGGUGUUAGAAUCAUUACUAUGUAAUCUAGAUUAUUGACUCUAGUGCAAGUGAGAGACUGAAGGAAAUAUGCCCUAGAGGCAAUAAUGAAGUUGUUAUUUAUAUUUCCUUAUAUCAUGAUAAAUGUUUAUUAUUCAUGCUAGAGUUGUAUUAACCGGAAACUUAGUACAUGUGUGAAUACAUAGACAAACAGAGUGUCCCAAGUAUGCCCCUACUAGACUAGCUCGUUAAUCAAAGAUGGUUAAGUUUUCUAGCCAUAGACAUGUGUUGUCAUUUGAUGAACGAGAUCACAUCAUUAGAGAAUGAUGUGAUGGACUGAUAUGUCCAUUUUGCAUCAUGCUUUUAUAUCGAUAUUUAUUGCAUUAUGGGCUGUUAUUACACAUUAUGUCAGGAUACUUAUGCCUAUUCUCUCUUAUUUUACAAGGUUUACAUGAAGAGGGGGAAUGCCGGCAGCUGGAAUUCUAGGCUGGAAAAGGAGCAAAUAUUAGAUACCUAUUCUGCACAUCUCCAAAAGUCCUGAAACUCCACGGGAAUUAUUUUCAGAAUAUAUAAAAAAUAUUGGGCGAAAGAAGUACCAGAGGGGGGACACCCACCGUCCAUGAGGGUGGGGGGGGGCGCCCUACCCCCUGGGUGCGCCCCCUUGCCUCGUGGACCCCCAGGUGGCCCUCCGAUGCCCAUCUUUGGCUAUAUGGAGUCUUUCACCAAGGAAAAAGUCAUAAGCAAGCUCACGGGAUGAAACUCUGCCGCCAUGAGGCGGAACCUUGGCGGAAUCAAUCUAGGGCUCCAGCGGAGUUGUUCUGCCAGGGAAACUUCCCUCCGGGAGGAGGAAAUCAUCACCAUCGUCAUCACCAACGAUCCUCUCAUCGGGAGGGGGUCAAUCUCCAUCAACAUCUUCACCAGCACCAUCUCAUCUCAAACCCUAGUUCAUCUCUUGUAUCCAAUCUUUGUAUCCAAACCUCAGAUUGGUACCUGUGGGUUGCUAGUAGUGUUGAUUACUCCUUGUAGUUGAUGCUAGUUGGUUUACUUGGUGGAAGAUCAUAUGUUCAGAUCCAUUAUGCAUAUUAAUACCCCUAUGAUUAUGAACAUGAAUAUCAUUUGUUAGUAGUUAUGUUUGUUCCUGAGGACAUGGGAGAAUAUUGCUAUAAGUAGUCAUGUGAAUUUGGUAUUCGUUCGAUAUUUUGAUGAGAUGUAUGUUGUCAUCCCUCUAGUGGUGUCAUGUGAACGUCGACUACAUGACACUUCACCAUUGUUUGGGCCUAGAGGGAAGCAUUGGGGAGUAAUAAGUAGAUGAUGGGUUGCUAGAGUGACAGAAGCUUAAACCCUAGUUUAUGCGUUACUUCGUAAGGGGCUGAUUUGGAUCGAUAUGUUUCAUGCUAUGGUUAGGUUUACCUUAAUACUUUUGUUGUAGUUGCGGGUGCUUGCAAUAGGGGUUAAUCAUAAGUGGGAUGCUUGUCCAAGUAAGGACAAUACCCAAGCACCGGUCCACCCACAUAUCAAAUUAUCAAAGUACCGAACGCGAAUCAUAUGAACGUGAUGAAAACUAGCUUAACGAUAAUUCCCAUGUGUCCUCAAGAGCGCUUUCCUUCAUAUAAGAGUUUGUCCAGGCUUGUCCUUUGCUACAAAAAGGAUUGAGCCAUCUUGCUGCACCUUAUUCACUUUAUUUACUUGCUACCCGUUACAAAUUAUCUUAUCACAAAACUAUCUAUUACUGACAAUUUCAGUGCUUGCAGAGAAUACCUUACUGAAAACUGCUUAUCAUUUCCUUCUGCUCCUCGUUGGGUUCGACACUCUUACUUAUCGAAAAGGCUACGAUAGAUCCCUACACUUGUGGGUCAUCAAGACUCUUUUCUGGCGCCGUUGCCGGGAGUGAAGCGCCUUUGGUAGGUGGAAUUUGGUAAGGAAAAAUUUAUAUAGUGUGCUGAAAUUUACUGUUACUUGUUACUAUGGAACAUAAUCCUUUGAGGGGCUUGGUGGGGUAUCUUCACCCCGACCAGUGGAGAAAAGAGUUGCUCCUCAACCUACUGAACCUACUGAAAAUGUUUACUUUGAAAUUCCUUCGGGUAUGAUAGAGAAACCGCUAGCUAAUCCUUUCACAGGUGAUGGAACAUUACAUCCCGAUUUGCACCUAAUCUAUGUGGAUUAAGUUUGUGGAUUAUUUAAGCUUGCAGGUAUGCCUGAGGAUGUUAUCAAGAAGAAGGUCUUCCCUUUAUAUUUGAAGGGAGAUGCAUUUACAUGGUUGAGGCUAUGUGAUGAUAUUGGAUCAUGGAACUACCAACGAUUGAAAUUGGAAUUUCAUCAGAAGUUUUAUCCUAUGCAUCUUGUUCAUCAUGAUCGUAAUUAUAUAUAUAAUUGUUGGCCUCGCAAAGGAGAAAGCAUCGCUCAAGCUUGGGGGAGGCUUAAGUCAAUGUUAUAUUCAUGCCCCAAUCAUGAGCUCUCAAAAGAAAUGCUUAUUCAAAAUUUUUAUGCUCGGCUUUCUCUCAGUAAUCGCUCCAUGCUCGAUACUUCUUGUACUAGAUCUUUUAUGAUGAAGACUAUUGAAUUCAAAUGGGAUUUAUUGGAAAGAAUUAAACGCAACUUUGAAGAUUGGGACCUCAACGAAGGUAAGGAGUCAGGUAUAACACCUAAGUUUGAUUGUGUUAAAUCUUUUAUGGAUACCGAUGCUUUCCGUGAAUUUAGCACUAAAUAUGGACUUGACUCUGAGAUAGUAGCUUAUUUCUGUGAAUCCUUUGCUACUCAUGUUGAUCUCCCUAAGGAGAAGUGGUUUAAAUAUAAUCCUCCCAUUGAAGUAAAAGUAGUUGCACCUAUUCAAGUUAAAGAAAAGACUAUCACUUAUAAUGAUCCUAUUGUUCCUACUGCUUAUAUUGAGAAACCACCUUUCCCUGUUAGAAUAAAGGAUCAUGCUAAAGCUUUAACUGUGGUCAACCAGAGUAAUAUUAAGACACCCAAACCUCCUGAACAAAUUAAAGUUGAACCUAGUGUUGCUAUGGUUAAAGAUCUCUUGGUUGAUAAUAUUGAUGGCCAUGUUAUUUACUUCUGCAAUGAAUAUGCUAGAAUUGCUAGACACUACAAAAAAAGACACAUCCGUGACAUUUUGGGCCGAACGAAUUUUUUUCUAUCAUACAUAUGACACUUAUAUGAUGAUAAUUGUGACAAAACCCGGUAUCAUCAUAGAUGUGGUGGGCUCCUACUUCUAUGACAAAAAAAUCAUGACAAAAAUGGGCUUUUCAUCCUGGGCGGGCUGGAGACGCAGCUGCAUGACAUUCUUUGGGCUGUCCAUGACGGAAAAAACCGUGGUAGAAGCGAGGGCGAGGAAAAUUUCAGGGAGUUCCCGAUUACUGUGGGAGGUCGGGGGCCGAGCGAUGCGCAUUUCUCUCGUACAUGUACGCGUGUGUGUGCGAGGCAUUGGCUCUAAAUGAACCCGAGCGAGGCGUUGGGCUAUCACUGAACCCGAGCGAUUGCACUGCAGGCUACGCGUUACUGAACCCAAGAAAUCGAUCGAUGGCUGUUAACUGAACCCGAUCGAGCAAUUCCUUCGCUACUGCUGCUAACUGAAGUCGAUCGAUGCUGCAUCUGGGAUGAACAGUGAGCAUUGCGGGAGGUUUUGGAUGAACAGUGAGCGGUGGCGUUGCCUCUGGAUGAACAGGACCCCAUGGUGUGGUGGAGGUCUGGAUGAACAGUAGACGAUGGAGGGGUGCCCGUGGAGGGGUGGUUGAACAGGACCCCGUGGUGUGGAGGGCUGGAUGAACAGUAGACGGUGGAGGGGUGCCUGUGGAGGGGUGGUUGAAUAGGACCCCAUGGUGUGGAGGGCUGGAUGAACAUUAGAUGGUGGAGGGGUGAUUGAACAGUAGCCGGUGGAGUAGCAUGCGGUGAAGGCUGGAUGAACAGGAGCCCGUGGAGGCUGGAGGAGGUCGACGGUAGCCCGUGAAGGCUGGAGGAGGUCGACGGUGGAGAUGAACAGUAUCUCGUGGAGUCCCGUUUUGCGGUGCGCCACACCCGUCCCGAUGAACAGGACUCCCAUUUCGACUGUAGCGCUCCAACACAAGUCUGUUUCAUCCGUUUUGCGGUACGCCACACCCCUCCCGAUCAACAGGACCCCCGUUUCGACCGUAGGAGGUCCGUUUCAUCCGUUUUGCGGUACGCCACACCCCUCCCGAUCAACAGGACCCCCGUUUCGAUCGUAGGAGGUCCGUUUCCUCUGUUCUGCGGUACGCCAGGCCUCGUUUUCAUUGGCUGUUCCGUCCAAGCCCUCCCGAUGAACACGACCACGCAUUCCGUUCCAACCCAGCCGGUUGGCUCCCACGCAUUUCGUUGCCUCCCGAUGAACACGACGCGUUCUGUUGCCUCCCCAUGAACACGGCGCAAUCCUUUGCCUCCCCAUGAACACGACGCAUUCUGUUGCCUCCCCAUGAACACGACGACAACGCUGUUUCUCCAUUCCGACCCAGCCAUGUACACGAGCCCUGGCCGUACGUAUGCGCGAGUAGGCGUUCGAGACCCCGCCCGUAUGUACACAUACGUGGCCGUAUUUUCUUUCUUGCACCCUGGCCGCUGUACGCACGUGUACAUGCUACGUGUGCGCCUCUACUACGACACGUGCGCGCCUCUACUAUGACACGUGCGCGCCUCUAUAUCGACCAGUAUGUACGUACACGUUCGCGACCAAAAUGACAAUGCUACGUAUGCUUCGACCAGGUGGGUCCCGACUGUCAGGCACUUCCUUGCGUGCGAAGAUGUAGCUGGUGGGUCCCAGCAGUUAGGGGGGCGAAUCGUUUUGUUUUUGUUUUUGCCCGGACGCACUUCCUUGCGUGCGAAGGUGUAGCUGGUGGGUCCCAGCAGUCAGGGGGAAAUGUUUUUUUCGCAAAAUACGGUGGCCCGUCCGGUGGGUCCCCGCUGUCAGGUGGAGGAAUACUUAUUUUGCACGUAAUAAGAAGGCACUUCCUUGCUGCGGCCGUGGACCCAGAUGUCAGCCUCUCCACGUACAGUCCACGUCCGAUGGAAGCCGUUACUUGACCAUGUUGACCAUGCCACGCCGAGAGCACCAGGGCGGUGGACGACGGUGAGGCCUAGGAAGGGGACGAUGCGGAGCCGGGGAAGACGCGGCAGUGGAUGCCCACACGUAGAGGAGUAUGAGGGUUCACUGGUUCGCUGCGGUGUGAGGCUGUCGUCGCCGUAGAAUAACAGGGGGGUGUGGGUGAGUAGAGGGAUGGCCUGGCCAGCGGUGGGAGUAGUAGGGGGCGGUGAGGCCUCCGCCGCAUCGCAGCCGGCCACGGGAGGCAGGAGCACGAGGCACGACCGGCGCUGGUUUGGGCGGCUGGAGCAAGAAGACCAGAGGUUGAAGAAGCACUACGGCCGUUGGAUGGACAUCGUACGGUCACUGGAGCUAAAAUCAUGCAUAUUGACUAAGUUGACAAAGCUCUUCGUCCCCGUCAACUUAGUAGGCCCACAAGUCAGUCUGCCACUAUACUGGGUCCCAACUAACAGGGGGAGUAUUCAUUUUUUUUGUGCGUAAUAAGGAGGCACUUCCUUGCGUGCGAAGAUAUAGCUGGUGGGUCCGAGCUGUUAGCGGCGGUAACAUUUUUUUCACGAAAUACAGAGGCCCUUUCGGUGGGUCCCUGAUAUCAGGUGGAGGGAUCAUUAUUUUGCGCGUAAUAAGGAGGCAUUUCCUUGCGUGCGGCCGUGGACCCAGCUGUCGGCCUCUCCACGUACAGUCCACUUCAGAUGCAUGUCGGUCAUUGACCACGUUGACUAGGCUGCGUCGAGAGCACAAGGGUGGUGGACGACGGUGAGGCCUAGGAAGGGAACGACACAGAGGUAGGGAAGACUCGGCAGUUGUUUCCCACGCGGAGGGGAGUACGACUGUACGAGGGUUUACUGGUUCGUCUGCCAUUGCCGGAGAAUAACAGUAGGUGUGGUUGAGUAGAGGGAUGGCUAGGCCAGCGAUGGGAGUACGGUGGGGCGGUGAGGCCUACGUGGCAGCAGAGCCGACCGCGGGGAGGAGGGAGCAGGCAGUCCCGCCAGCGCUUGUUUGAGCGGCUGGAGCAGGAAGAGCAGAGAUUGAAGAAGCACGACGGCCGUUGGAUCGAUAUCGUACGGUCACUGGAGCUAGAAUCGUUCAUAUUGACUAAGUUGACAAAGCCCUCCGUCCCCGUCAACUUAGUAGGCCCACAAGUCAGCCUCCCACCAUGGUGGGUCCCAGCUAGCAGGGGGGUAUUCAUUUUUCUAUGCAUAAUAAGGAGGCACUUCUGGUGGGUCCGAGCUGAUAGUGGGGGGAACUUUUGUUUCGCGAAAUACGGUGGUCCGUCCGGUGGGUCCCAGCAGUCAAGGGCAAACAUUUUUUUCGCGAAAUACGAUGGCCCGUCCGGUGGGUCCCAGCAGUAAGGGGGGAAACGUUUUUUCCACGAAAUACUGGUGGCCCGUCCGGUGGGUCCCUGCUGUCAGGUGGAGGAAUAAUUAUUUUGCGCGUAAUAAGGAGGCAGUUCCUUGCGGCUGCCGUGGACCCAGCUGCCAGCCUCUCCACGUACAAUACUCUUCCGAUGGAAGUUGGUCGUUGACCACAUUGACCAUGCCACGCCGAGAGAAGCACGGCAGUGGACGACGGCGAGGCCUAGGAAGGGGACGCCGUGGAGCUGGGGAAGACGCGGCAGUGGAUGCCCACGCAGAGAGGAGUACGAGGGUUCACUAGUUCGGCUGCGGUGUGAGGCUACCGUCGCCACAGAAUAACAGGGGGAGUGGGUGAGUGAAGGGAUGGCCUAGCCAGCGGUGGGAGUAGUAUGGGGACGGUGAGGCCUCCGCGAUAGCACAGCCGGCCAUGGGAGGCAGGAGCAUGCGGCACGACCGGCGCUGCUUUGGGCGGCUGGGGCAAGAAGACCAGAGGUUGAAGAAGCACUACGGCCGUUGGAUGGACAUCGUUGACCACGCCGUGCCGAGAGCACCAGGGCGGUGGACGACGGCGAGGCCUACGAAGGGAACGACACGGAGCCAGGGAAGACACGGCAGUGGCUACCCAUGCAGUGGAGAGUACGAGGGUUGACUGGUUCUGCUGCCGUCGCUGGAAAAUAACAGGAGGUGUGGGUGAGUAGAGGGAUAGACAGGCCAGGGAUGCGAGUAUGAUGAAGCCGUGAGGCCUGCCCGGCAGCACUGCCGGCCACGGGAGGCGGGAGCAGGUGGUUCCGACGGCGCUGGUUUGGGCGGCUGGGGCAGGAAGAUCAGAGACUAAAGAAGCACGAUUACCGUUAGAUUGACAUCUAACGGUCUGGCGCUGGUAGAGUCGAUUGUUGACUAAGUUUCUUUUUUGAGAAACCUUGUGUACGCAUGAACUUAGUAGGCCCACAAGUCAGCCUCCAAAUUUGUGGCAGACAACAUAAAGCCCAUUUGCUAUUUUUUAUAAUUUGUAGCCCAUUUGCUAAUUCUUAAGUAAUUUAUUACAACCCAUUUUCUGCCCAGGACCACGGUCAAAAAGUUCAAACUUAUUUUGCAUAUUUCGGUGGAGUCCGAACUGUUGUAAUCCCGAAAGGAUAAACAUUUUUUAAGAACUUAUUGAUUUGCCAAAAAAAUUGUUUUGUUUUUGUAAGCAAAUAAGACAUGGGACAAUUGAGUUGGUUUAAGGGAAAACCAGUGGUAAAAAAAUCAGCGCUGGGUGGGAAAAAACAACAAAAAUAAGGAUGUAAAUAGGAAAAGGGAAUUUUAUGUGUUUUCAAUAUAAUGAUACGUGUAUAUGAACUAGUAAAACUAUAGGUAGAGAUUAGAAAACGGAUGUAGGGCUUGCAUUUCAAGAGGAAAAUAGAACUGGGCUAUGUGUUUGAUUCAGUAAAAAAACUGCCCCGGAUGUUGUAAGACAAAAUAUAACUAACGAUGGCGGGCCAGAGGCCAGUAGAUACCUGCUGGAUCUUUGUGCCUCGUUGUCGUCAUGGGCUGGGCCUGUUAAAACAAGACCAACCCUGGGCAGUCUACAACCCAGUUGAAACUUGCUCGACCUGAAAAAACAA